Molecule: long non-coding RNA, 60157 nt
Filed under: Brachypodium distachyon (stiff brome)
Lineage: Eukaryota; Viridiplantae; Streptophyta; Magnoliopsida; Poales; Poaceae
Description: long non-coding RNA (BDIS_LNC003941)
Rfam family: MIR1120/MIR1122 microRNA precursor family (bases 8252-8376)
Source: RNAcentral
AUAAACGUCACCUUGGACCCUCAUAUGAAGCGAUGGGGCUGGGGCAUGAUUCCGGCCGGUGCCACCAGUGCUAGGGCUCUCCUUCUCAACUACAACGACCUGUCAGGCGCACUUCCGGCGAACAUUGGCUUCUCCAAAUUGAGCUACUUCGCCCUCGCCAACAACAAGCUCACCGGCCCAAUCCCGUCAUCAAUCGGGCAAGCAAAAGACACCCUCUUCGAGCUCCUCCUCCUCAACAACCAGCUCUCCGGCUGCCUCCCACACGAGCUGGGCAUGCUCACCAAAACCACGGUCAUCGACGCCGGGAAGAACCAGCUCACGGGCCCGAUCCCGCCAUCCUUCUCCUGCCUCAGCAGCGUCGAGCAGCUCAAUCUGGGCGAGAACCGCCUCUACGGCCAGGUCCCCGACGCGCUCUGCAAGCUCGGCCGCCUCGCCAACCUCACGCUGGCGGGCAACUACUUCUCCUCGGUCGGGCCGGCGUGCUCGGCGCUGAUCAAGGAAGGCGUGCUGGACGUAAAGAGGAACUGCAUCCCCGGCCUCGCCAACCAGAGGGCGCCCGCGGAGUGCACCUCGUUCAUGAGCCAGCCCAAGGCGUCCUGCCCUGCCGCGAGCGCUCCCGUGUCCUGCCCUGCCGAAGCUGCCGCGGACGCCAAGAAGAUGGCGCCGGAGGGGAGGGCGGCCGCCAAGGACUACGCAAGCUACGUGACGUACGCCACUCUCCAUGAGUGAGCUAGGCGCCACGUAGUGCGUACGGCUUGUCGGCGUGGCGCAUGCAUGCGCUAGGGGACGCCGUGCCUCGUCGCUGGAGUAAUUUGUUUGCUAUUGUAUUCAUUUUUCUUGUAUUUGUUCGGUUGGUGUGUGUGCGCGCGCGCGCACGUGAUCGUUAUUUGUUUUUCUCUUCACGUGUGGAUGUCACGUCUAGAUCUUGCCCUCUUGUACGUACUGUACUGCCAUGCACGUCUGUUGUGUGGUGGCAAUUAAUUUGGAUCGUAUCUUGCUUUGUUCUUUCACGAUGUCUUGAAAUUAUGUGAAGUUCUUACAUUGUGCCAUUGCUAGUUACCAUUGCUCGGUGUAAAUGUAUAAUACGGUCAACAAACCAUGCAUGCCUCUCUGUUGUACAAACUUAACGACCAAACUCCCCAGCAGCACCUGCUUAAUUACGUGUGCAUUUCCGAAUGUAUAUCACAAAGGUUUAUGGUCAUUUGUGGAUGGAUUGUUCUCCCAUUGUUCUACAAGCCAAGUAUGAACCGCGCAUGUUACGGGCCGGUUCGUAAACGAUAUCUAUUUCCGCAUGAUAUCGUAUAUGAUGUGGACAUAUCUUCUGCCAUUACACCCUUUACACCGGUAGCUAUCACGCAAGGACCAAUGAGAACUCGUACUGUCGUUUUUUAAUACAUAUAAUUUGGCUAAUAAGGAUAUGGUGCUGCCUUCAUGUGUUGAUUUGCAUGUAUUAAUUCUGGAAGGAAGGAAUUGGAGAAUGGUUAAGAGAUAUCAAGUGCACAAGGAAGACCGAGGAGCACCUAAUACUCAAAGCAUGAACAUUGUAUAGCCAUAAGACAAAACGUUGAUCUCAUGGUCUAUCUUAUGCAUUGUGAGGGGUUGGCCAAGACCAAAAGCUAUGGCUUGGCCCCAAGCUUAUGGCUAGCCAUAAGAAUAGACAAUGCUAUUUCUAUUUUUUCUCUCUUUUAUUUCUAUGGAUGACAUGUAUACUCUUAUAGGACUCAUCUUAUGGACUAUGUGACCACAUACAUUAUGUACAAUGACAUAAGCUUGUGCUUUAAUUUAUGAGUCUCAGCUUAUGGUCAAAUCGUCCACAAGCAUUGGUGAUGCCACCUUAAGACAUCGAUGUAGUACUGGUACAACUUUUUUUUAGACAUAGAUUUUAUAAACCACAAGGUAACUCAUAUAAUUAAGAAUUACAAUGAAAUCUCUUGAAGACAUCUUCUCUGUGAUAUCAUGUUUUGCAACAUGAAAUUCUGCUAAGGCUUCAACAUAGAAAUUGCAAUCAGACUAGACCAGCAACAUCGCCACUGGUAUUCCUGCAUGAACUUGACUAUCUUUAAAGGUUUCGAAGAGCCCUUGAGUCGCUCAUCCAAAAGGAUGAGAAGCCAUGAACAUUGAACGUACUUGGGCCGGGAAAGACCCCCUAAAGGUGCAGGUCAUCGAACCGCAAGAUCUUCAUUGGAACGCUAGAGAAGGAUUCCAAAAUGACAAAUGAUAAAAUCAACAAAAAUACCAUGACACACUAACAAAAACGCAGCAGAUACGUAUAAACGGAUCUGCGAGUACACAAACCCAAGAUCCGCAAUAUCGGGCACACAAAACCUACGGGGACUAAAAAACUCUAGCUCCGCAGCAAUGCCCCGUUGAGACACCACUAUAGCAGAGAAAGAAUCAAAUUACCUUUAUUUGCGAUGGCAUCGCAACCUCCGUCAUUGAGUUGCCGAUCAAGACCAAACAAAUGAAAUAAACAAACACUUUUAAAUACUCUUUGAAGAAACCGAGAUUCCCCCAGCUCGCAGCCGCCAAGACGGCGGCCUCCGGCAUUGGGAAUGCUAAGUCUACAACCGUAACUGCUAGGCCACAGCUCUAGUGCGAGACAAGACGAAAGAAAAACGGCUAGCACUGGUACAACCGGUUGGGCUGAGCUGUGCAGGCCAUGCGAUUGAUGCAUGCAUGGAUAUGGUCUUAGUGUCCGCCCAUCACGUUUCACGUUUUCACCGGAGAUCGACUUCGUAGCGGUCAAGAAAACUCUGCAAAUGCGCACGUCUUCUGCCAGUAUAAAUAGCCAUCGCAGUCUAGAGUUAGAAUUUGGGGUUUUGUUGAAUUGUUUAGCUUUAUUACAAUAUACAUAUGCGAGACAUGUAGGAUUACCGCCUUGUUCAGAUCAUCAGUGGAACCCCAACUUGUUCAUCUAUUUCUCGUUCCUAAAUUAUUUCCGUAAUUUCAGAUUGCAAUUUAUCAUAGUUAUUGCUAGUUCUUCAUUAUCUGCAGGAACUCGAACCUCCUUGUUAACCAUCGAAAAUUGGUUUAGCGAUUGCUUUAAUAUAUCAUCUGGUACAAUAUAGUCGGAUCGUAAAGGUCAAAAUCCACCAAAUUGAUAGUUACCCCCACUCUUAUCCAAAGAUCGGAACAUCGGCACAUCAGUAUAGGUGUAUUGUGUACGCGUAACUGCACAAAAAGAAGGCUUUAUUUAUGAUACAUCGUAUAUGGUGUCCGCUUAACUGCUCAAAAAAUAUGCUUUAGUUGGACUAAAUUUAAUUACACUCAUGUAAACAUACUAAUCCCUCGGAUACAUAUUAGUUGUCCCUGCAGUUUGCAAUUAAUAUGGACAGGAGGGUACUACUAUUCCAGUUACGAGAGCAACUUACUGGCUGCCGAAGUAAUUGUUUGCAGGCAGGCAGGAUCGAUGGGUUGGUCUGGUUAACGGGCCCUGUAAUUAGCGAACUGCGGAUCGCCUACCAGGCCUGGCAGGCCUGCAUUGCCACGAGCCCACGACAUGUGUAGCAGGCCGCGCGGACGCUCGAUGGGCUCGAGCCUAUGACGCCUGGGCGGCUGGGCCCAAAUGAUUAUAUCAACAGAGUGGAUGGAACUGUAAAAAAAAAGUUGAUGGAACUACUUUUGUUUUUCGCUCAAAAAAAGUGCGUGCAUCAUGAAGGAGGAGUUGAAUGGAUUGCAGACACUUCUCCUUAAUGAUUGCCCUUAUGCGUAUUAUGUUUAGUGCUAUGCACAUCGUUUACAACUUGCCCUUGUUUCUGCAGCAAAAGAUGUGGUUCCGAUCACCCAAUUUUUUCAGAAACUUCUCUUUAUUAUAAACACAGUGUACUCCUCUUCAAAGCGCCAUGAUGAGCUGCAUGAUGCAAAAGUGGUCGAGAUUGCACGCUUGCUUGCUGUUGAUCAGAUUGAGACAGGUCAAGGAGCAAAUCAGAUUGAGACUAGAUGGGUUUCCAUUUAGGUUAUGUUUCCAGUCUUAUGCAUAUGUUUAAUCAUAGAAAUAAAUAGCGCAUGAUUGGACAGCUAUAGCGGCACGGAAGCCUCGGGGCGACGUUAUGACGGUUGUUGCGAAAUCAACGUUAAUCCCUAAUUCUGCAUUAAUUUCUUCAUUAUAUAAUAGAUAAGUUUAGAUACGGCGCCAAUUUUUUGUACGAGAAGGCGCGAUAGUAGCCGCUCUGGCGGCUGGAGGAUGCUGCCAUGGAAUGAUUUAGCGCGUGAUUUAAAACCUUGUGUUUAAUUCAGUUAGAUUUGUUCUAAAAAAAUUAGCGGUUGAUUCAACACCUGGAGCAUAACAUUGAUAUUCUAGACAUGGAGCAAACUACGGAAAGGUAUUUACGAGUGGAGAUAUUUCGAGCAAUUGACAGCCAGCUCACUGAAUUGAAUGCCAGGUUCAAUGAGAAAGUAAUGGAUCUUUUAUCCAUUAUACUCCCUCCGUUUGGAUUUAUAAGGCCCACUCAGAAUUUUAUGUCAAACUUUGACCAAAAAAUGCAUUACUAAUACGAGAUUAUUGCGGCACAAAAGAUAUACUGUUAAAUUCGCAUUUAAAAACUCUUUCUAAUGUUAUAACGUUUAUAUACAUAUACUAAAUAUAAUUUGAAUAAUUGUUGGUCAAAGUAUGGCACAAAUUUCAAUAAGAGCCUUAUAAACCCAAACGGAGGGAGCAGUAGUUACGCUGAUACCAAAAAAUGGACUAACAUCUUUCAAUACUAAAGAAAUAUGUUCAAUGGUGGAGAAAUAUUAUCCAGCUGAUUUUACACAACAAGAGAGGUAUAGGUUGGAGCUUCAGCUGAAAAGUUUUGUUGUGGAUGCUAAGAACAGCGAUGAUUUAAAGAAUCCCACAUCCAUAACUUCUCUAUGUCGAUGCCUUGUUGAGACAGGACGUCAUAGAAUCUAUAAUUUGGUGGACAUGUUGCUUCGAUUGCUUGUCGCUCUCCCGGUUUCCACUGCAAGUGCUGAGCGUGCUUUUUCCGCAUUAAAGAUCAUCAAGACAAGGCUGCGCAACCAAAUGGAAGAUGAUUUCCUUGCGGACAGCUUGCUGCUACAAGUAGAACGAGAAAUUGCAUCAAAAAUUUGUUUUGAAGAAAUAAUUGCAGAUUUGAAAGCUAGUAAGAACAGAAGAGCAUUUCUCUAGCCAUCAGUCCUAUUUAGUUUUCUUCACCCAAUAAUUUAUGUUAUGUUUUUCCUAAUUUUUUUACAUUUUUUAUUUAUGAUAACGGCGCUUACCACUAUGCCUCUCUUCACCUACCAUUCAUCUCCGUCUUCAGUCACCUUCUACCCGAGGGGGGUUGGUGGCAAUGGCGGAGCUACGUAGUGGUGAGGGGGGAGGGGGGCAGCAUGCAUCUUCCGCCCGAGGGGAGAAAUGGCAGAGCUACGUAGAGGUGAGGAGGGAGGGGGGCGCCGCCCCCAGCGCGAAACCUGUGACCAAUCAAAGCACGAUGCCGACACCAAGGGGAAAGCAACGCACCCUCUGGGUGGCUCCUGGUUAGGGACAAGUUAGGGCUUCCACAAUGUGCCAAAAGUCAAAUUCACCACGUAGGCAUCUUUUGGCAUCGGUGUUAAAUUCUUUUCGCUCCACAGCGUAGCAAGCAUUGAACUUUGAGACCUUCGCUGUAUUCUUGGUCCGAUGGUUUUUGCAUUGUGUGGCUGACUUUUGUUGUUCUUGAGGUGCAUACAUGUUGUACUCUUUUGCUAUUUGUUUCCAGAAGUGAUCGGACUUCUUUGAGUUGCCAUCAAUAGGAUCAUUGGAGUUGUUCAAAAACGCACUUACUAGCCAUUCAUCCUCCUUCUCCAAUUCUUGCCUUUGCCUCUCUUUACAUGCUCAUCUGGACUGCUCUCACUUCCUUCUUCAUUUUUGGCAGGGUCUUCUACUCGAUGUGCAGCGGAAAGUGGAGUACCUGACCGCCCCCCCCCCCCCCCCAACUGGACUAUUAUCUUCGUCUCGAGACCCACUACCUCCAGCAACUCCAAAGAAGCCCAUGAAUCCAACAGGAAACGCCGGGCUGUUGCCUCCAUACCCUCCAUGUGAGUAUUGAGUGGUAUGGCCUUGGAAAGGGACGCCAUGGUAGCUUGAUGGUGUUGGUCUGAACUAGGGGCGGCUUGGUUGAGCUGAAAACUGGUAGGCAUUGUGUGGGUGAUAUUGUUGCAGAUUGGUAAGUGGAUAGUUAACAAAAUGGGAUGGCUGAUUGUUUUGGGGGUGUUGAAGGCUUGCAUUUUGUGGAUCUGAAGAUGGGAUUGAGAAAUUCAACAUGUGUGUGUAGCUCAUGGAGGAUGAGUGUUGUUUGGAGAGAGGCCUGUAUGUGUAUUCUGUUUUGUUGGUUGUUCGUGUGUGUAUAAGCUGAGCAAACAACGGUCAGAUUUCUUACUUUGGUUUUUUACCUGUGUAUGUCUCACGAUGAAUGAUGUUUUGGUGGUAGUUAAAUGAUGUUAGUUGUGAAAGUGCGUUGAAGGUUGUUGGUUGGCAGUUGAAAUCUGAAAUAGCAGUUACUCCCUCCGUUUCGGUAUAGGAGGCCGAUCUGUGAAAUUUCACCGUUUCGGUUUUCCUGGCCGUUCUCAUGUUCCUCUACGAUUUCUGUUUUCCUCCUGAGGUCCCAAUACUGCAAUUACGAGGGUAGCUACUCCUUUCCUCCUCUAUUCCUGCAAUCGCGCCAAUCAGUUGCCAUGCACCUCCUAGAAACACGCUUGGCCUUCAAUUCUUUUGGCAGGUGAAUGGGCUAAGCCAUGCCUGUUAAUUGGCUGCAUUGAAGCGCAAAAUUUUGGGCAACGAAGAGAUUGAUUUCGCCUUGGUUGUGCCAAUUUUAGAGAUCAGCCCCCUAUACCGAAACGGAAGGAGUAGUAGAAUGUAGUUAUUUUAUUGUUUCUCCAAAUGUGGCACCGGAGCAUGUAGGAGCAUCGGUGCCCAUUUUCCAAAAUUCGGCACUGGCUCCACGGUGGGCACAAUAGGUGCCAAAAAUCAAAUUAAGAUUUUGGCACCUCAAUUUGGCACACACUGUGGAGGCCCCUAGGGACGGAAAACUCAAUGCUAAAAUUGCAAAAUAUAAAAUGCAUAUGGGCAAAAGAAGCUUGAGUGCAUGACUCAAUUCUGAUAAACUGCACAAUUACCUUGAUUUUAUCAAAUAAUAUGCUACAAGUACAAAACUUUUGACCAGGACAAGCUUCUAAUCAACUACACAGUCAUGACACAAGUAGGAGAAUUUCAGAAACAGCUUUCAAAAGAUAGAGCAUACACCACCCAGUUGCUUCCUGGAAAUUGAUCACAAAUGCAAAGGAUACCUCAUUGUUGAAAGCAAGUAACGAAAUCCUGAAGAGCUUCUCCCACCAGCUCCUCCAGUACUCCCUCCUCAAUCUGUUCUGUGAUAUCAACCACCUGAGACAUCAUCAUUUUCACCCAGCUACUUCCUUCAACCUCCUGCUUCACAAUUCUAUCCAUCAUGAUCCCAGUGCUAUCUCUCUUGCUCACCACGAACAUCCGUGUCCCAUAAAUCCAGUCUUUCAGAAUACUCCAGACUUCUACCCCAAGAGCAGGAGAUGAGAUGUACCUCCAUGUUCUAGUGUGUGCUUUGCUCCAUGAGAACGCACUUAGUAGGGCGUUCUCGCCGAUCUCAACUAGAGCAACAUUGACACAGUCAAAAAGAAGUCUUUGACAUGACCUUUGCUCCCGCAAUGCCAGAAGUUUGUUACACAGAACUGGGUCAACAGGGCAGUCAGGUAAAUGCCAACCAGUAAAAACCAUGCUUGAGUGUGUGUCGUCUAAUCCAGCAGAUGACAUUAUGUUUUGCACAAGAACAUGGCAUUCUGAUUCAUCAUCAUCUAUAUCGGAGGGGAGGCAAGGCAACCUUGGGAUACCAACUGAGGGCGAUUCUGAGCUGGCAUCAUCCCAUGGCAAGGAACAUGCAACAGCCUCAAUUACUGAGGAUCUUGAGACAGCUUCUGAAAAGAUUAGCGCACAUCAGUAUAUAAAACCAACCGAGACAUGGAGAGCUCUGAUUGUAAAAAGAAAACUUACUGGCAUUCUUCGAAGUAGUGCUGCCAGAUGAUUCAGGUUCAUUACAACUGCUAUCUUCAGAGGGUGCAUCAAGAACUGAGGUAGGGCUGGGCUGAUCUCGAGUGCUAUUUAGGCCUUCGUUUAGUCCGAGAAUAUCCAGUUCUCUGCUUGGACAAACCAAUGAUAUAGGCACAUCAACUGAAGCAGUUCCCUGGCAUGCAAAGAUAUCGUCAACAGUUGAUACUGGAACAGAGAUGAGCCACUCGCUCAGAAAAUACAUUAUUCCCUCCGUCCCAUAAUUCUUGUCUCAAAUUUGCCUAAAAAUGGAUGUAUCUAUUCCUAAAAACCGUCUAGAUACAUGUAAUAUUUCGACAAGAAUUAUGGGACGGAGGGAGUACAUGAAUUUAGCAACUAUGAAAAUGAAUAUAAACUGUUGGACUUGCAUAAUGGUUGAGAUACAAUGCCUACCUCUGAAGUGCUGAUAGAUUUUUUUAUGGCAGAAAUAUCAAUUUUCUCUUCACAAAGUACCUGUUCUUCAUUAUUUUCUACAUUAUGAUUGGCAUCUGAUUGACUAUCGCUGAAACAAGCUUCAACUAUGUCAUCGAAGCAGUCAGAUGGAUGAUGGGUGGAUUUAUGCCUUAUUGGCUUUCUUUUAGGAAAGAAGAAAUCUGAAACUCUCCCCUUGGAAGAUGGUUUUCCUUUAUUUGAUACUUGUGCUGUUGGCUUGCAGCUCUCAGUAUUUGGAACUUGCACUUUCUCCACCAUGUUGUCAGACGUUUUUGAAAUAGCCAAAACAGACUUUGAUCUUGGCAACUUUCUGCAAGUGGCUACAUACAUAGCUGUCGUAGUCAGUUCAUUUUCUGUACCACACGAUCGACUGCUAGAAACAGAAUGUACCCCAGUAAUGGAAUCUUCUUUCUUCACUUCUUGAAGGGAGAGCAUCUCACCUAAGGUGCGAGUUCUCCUUGGCAAUUGCACUUGCUCUUCACUGAUUUCAUCACAAGUUACCAUUGCCCAUCGCUCUGAAAGCCGUUGCUUAGCUUCUUUAAUAACCAAUGACUCAGGAAAAUGUGAGAUCUUGCUAAAAGAUGAGCCCGGGCAGGGACUACCAUAUCUUCUGGUGUGAUCCCACGAAUACUUCAAUACAGCACUAUCUUCAUCCGAGUCACUGAAGCUACCAUCAUCUUCUUCAAUAUAAUCGACUCCAGAAUCUUCAUUGCAAUCAAUUUCUGAAUCAGUGAAUGAGCUUUCAUCUCCACCAUAUCCAUUUGAGUAUCUGGAAGACAAUAAAGACUCGUCUCGCUGAUGGAAGCCAUAUUGCCUGUGCCGAGAACCCAGGGUUACUCCACUAUCAUCUAAUACUCCGUUGAAGUCGUUCCAUUCAAUUUGCCGAAAUGGGAUUGCCUUGGGGGUUAGCUUUGCCUUUGUCAUACUAGGCUUCCCUGGGGUAGGCCUCAAGAGUACUAUUCUACUUGGUUGUGAAGGGAUCCCUUCCUUUGAACUAGGCCUCUCAUCAAACUUUCUCAUCUCCAGUCCAUUUUGCCCAAUAGCUCGUUCUGUUCUGGAUUGUCUUCCACCAUUACACUCAACAGAUCUCAUUGGUUUCAAUACUGUAAUGCGUUUUGUCUGAGGUGAUGCUGGAGUUGUGUGAAGCCCGCUCAUCCGUCUUUGCAAAAUGAAGUUACGUUCAUCACGAAAUCUCAGAAAUAAAUCUUUCUCUGAACUUACAACCUCAAGAGAUUCUUGUAAACCCCCAGAAUGAAGGAGAUUCUCUUCAGUGGCAAGGCAUUUUCCUUCCCUGAACUUCUCUGGGACAAUAUUCAUUGUGCCACUCCUGUUCUCAGAAUACCUUCCUCUCUGUGAAGAUUGAUCCUGAAAAAGGCUCAUUCUUGCUUUCUCUUCACAUCCUUCAUAUACACCAUUACAUUCAAUUGUUUCACAUGAUGGGUGGAUAACUUUCAUCACCGACUGUAUGGAAUCGUGCUGCUGUAAGGCCUUCUUUGUCUCUUUUAAGCGGUUAGAUGAUUUACUUCUCCUAAAAUCUCUUUUAGCAUGGUGUAAAACUGGUUCUUUGGCAGGAAAAUCCUCCUCAAGGCCCAUUAAUCUGGCAACAACACUUCGAGGGUUGCUCUUUGACUCCACUUCUUUACUCGUCUCUUUUGCUAAUAGCAUUUUUAAUGAGGUUGUAUUUGAUUUUGUGCUUGAAAAAUUACCUCCAGCUGCCUGCAGAGAAAUCCACAGUGGUAAUGGUAAGCUAAUGUUUUACAUUUAGUAGCGUAUAUUUUCUUUCCUUGUUUCUUUCUGCCAAGUCUUAAGCAUUUCAAUUAAAUACAUACUGAUUUUCAUACCAAAAGAUGAUGACCAUAAAAGAGUAUGAGGGUGAUGAGUUCAUAAUAUAAGUUAUGCUAAAUGAUACUCACAAUUUGUCCCUCCAGAUGAACUUUAUCAGAAUCAAUAGUUCUCUUCAAUUCUGACGUGAUUCUUUGAACUGGAAAACACGAAAGGAGCACGUUCAAUAUGUAUCUUCAUACUAUUUACAAAUAUCAGAAUGUUAACAGUUAUACGGUUAUACCUGAAAAACGUGAUACGGAAUAAUCAAACGCAACUUCGAAUAUUUUAAAACAAACAUAUAAUUAUCAGAAUGCAAAAUAUACAACAAUUAAGGAAAUUGCUAUAGAUUUUUGUACAGCUAUCCUGCAAGCCUUAAUCCCAAUGGUACCGGCUACAUUUACACCAUUACCACUGCCCCACCAAAUUUCGAAAAGGAAAAGGAAAAAAAAUCCCCAAUCCCCACCAAGUGACACAAUUAGAACAAUUAAGACAACCUUUAAUGAAGAAGCUCUAGACAAUAUGGUUACUAGAUAUAAUUGCAGUAGUAGUAUCAUGAUUUUCAGAGGAACAGAGCACUCUCCCAGCCUCACUUAAAACAUCAUUCUAACAAAACUAAAAACAAAAUGGGAAUGCAUACCAUCUGUAUGAGUUUGGCCCAUAACUGGCUUUGCACCAGAAAUCCCUGUACUUAGGUCAACAAAUUGAUCAUUUCCUCAUGUUAAUACGUGCUAGAACCGGCUCAAGAGCAUUCAUUUGGUGUAUCCAAUCCUGAAAAGUCCAGAAGAGAUUCAGUGAAUCUUCAUGAACCCAAACGAGCUAUUCCCUACACUAAUGUCAAGUGAACCAACUUAACACUGGUAAAAAGAAUCAGCAGACUAGAGGCUAGCUGAUACUAAGCACGGUGAUUUAUUUUUCAGAAACCCCUUGGCAUUUGAAGCCCGUAGAUUUAAGGGACAAGAAAGUGAUACUCUGGAGGAUGCUAUCUUUUCGGGGAACUUCAGUAGAUACAUGCUUAAAAGCCGGAUUUUUUUCAGUCAUUUGAAAGCCAAAUUGGCGCAAGAGAGUUUAUGGCCCUUGUUUAAUACAACCAUAAAAUAAAAGCUGCGUGUACAAAAGACGGGGACGAAGCAGCGCUUGACAAUAUGGAAAAGCAUAAGGUGACGGAUAAAAAGACACAAAAAAAGCAGGCAUACCGCAUACAGAAGCAAAUGAGCAAACGUAAUUACAAAAGCAUGGACCCAUGACACUAACUAGUACUCCCUCUGUUCCUAAAUACUUGUCGUGGUUUUAGUGCAACGGAGGGAGAAACUAGGACGGACGUACUACAAAAAAGAAUCUAGCAGCAGAAAAUAAUCUCUGAAAGACUGCGUUUUCCGUCAAUCAGUUAGUUACCAAUUCUUCCAGUCAGAGAAAUGUGAAAACGAGAAACGUACAGAGAGCAAGUAAUUACAAAGCCACGAGUGCACGGCCAAAAUACUCAGAAUUUAUACUUACAGGCGACAAAGGAAUCUCUGCAGCCGUGCCGUUCCAAAGGCUUCAGAUUUUUCACAGGAAAAAAGAAGGCUGCAAUAAAAGCAGAAGAGGACAUGUACUCCUCUAGGUAGGAUAGUAGAAAACUAGUACUACGUACGAAGUACGGGGAUACCGAGAUGUACAGAUAUGUAUGUAUCCAGUGAGAAGCCGAGACAGUUCCUCAAAGCUGGAGGUUUUAGCAGGUUAAAAUAGAAGAAAUAUAUACUCCGUAGUUGGUUUGCCGAAUCAAACUAAUCUAGUCCACCGUUGAAAAAUGAAGCCAACGGCUGAUUAAACAAAACUACGGAGCUUGAUAUUAAAACGAAAUAUAAUACCCGAACGCACGGACGUAUCCAAAGAAUCAUGCAGGCCUUUAAAGUCUGUAUAAACUAGUACAUGAAAUUGAUGAGUGUUCUAUUUCACUCACUCCCAUCUACUUUUCCUAAAUUUCACGCAGCAUUUUCUUGGUCCAAGCCUCUGCCUGCCCCCAGAUUUGCAUGCUCAACUGCCCAGAUGAUAGACAAAUGUGACAAUCAUCACAUUGAGAUCACGGACAGAAUAGUGGGACUGUGGGAGUACCAAUCCGCAGGCAAGAAAGCGAUCCAUACGAAGGAAAACUCCACCAAUCCAAACCGAGGCUGGUGGCAUUUGCAUUUCCCACACCACCAAAUCGAACAAGCUGGUGGCAUCUCAGUUUAUCCGAUAAAGCAUGUCCCCAAUGGACUCCCCGGAUCGUGUAAAAUGCGCCAGCAAAUAACCCGCGGAGACAGAACUGAAGAGAGUCUCUGUACGAAUAACAAGAUAGGUUCGGAUUGCUCACCUCGACUCACGCGAUGCGAACGGCGAGCCUCGCUAGAAGGCGGUCGGCGGUGGCUUAUCCCGGCGACGGAGAUUUAGCGGUGGGGAUGAGGUGGCGGUACGUGGGUUUGGGGGGCUUUGGGAGGAUCGGCGGUGGAUAGAGGAGAGGCAAGCGACGGGGGAGCAAACUCAGUUACUCAGCAGGGUGCCCGUGGAGAGAACUACUGGGAUGGGAUCCCAGCGGCAUCAGUCCGCCUUUUGGUUUUCCCCUCCUGUUUGCUUUUCUUUUUCCUUUUGUUUUCACUCCUCCGCCUUCCGGUGCGCAAAUGUUUGUACUGACCCGUGUCGCGCCGUGGGCUGCGUACGUGCGCGUGUAAAAGGGCGUAAACGCUCGGUGAUGGACAGCCUACAAGUGGAGUAACCUUGAAGUGGAAUUCAGAUAUGAAAACGCUUCAUAUAAAAAUUAGACACGCGUGUGUGAUUAUAACUUGUUUUUUCAGCUAUAUUAUUUUAAUCAAUGGGCCUCCGCAUCGAUUUCCAAGUUAUUACAACAUUUAGUUUUUGUGCCGAUACAAAACUAAACCAGUCUAAACUACGUCAAUACAGGUACUCCCUCCAUCCAACAAAGUAUGUCUCAACUUUAACCAAAUUUGAAUAUAUCUGUACAUUAAAUCAUAUCUAGAUACAUCCAAAGUUUGACAAACUUGAGACAUCUAUUGUUGGACAGAGGAAAUAUUUGACAUUCAAGAACCAGAAUUCACGGUCUAGAUCAAUCUGAGCAAGCCAACAAAAACCAGAAACACGCCAAUACAUGUAUUUGACAUGCAAGAACAAAACAGUCAUUCACACGGCAAUGCCAUCACAAGAUCAACCACCCAGUCGUCACCGUAGGAGAUUCCACCCAUGACUUCCCGAGUAUGCUUCUGCAACCACCAAUCCACCAUCUUGAUCUUGUGAACACGAGCUGCUUCUUUGGCUUGUUUCUUUCUGCAAGAUGUUUCAUGAGGUGAGCGUGUUAGACAAAGUGAAGAUGAGUGUUGAAGGGUCAGUCAGCACUUCUCAGUCAACAAUCAUACCCAUCGAUUAAGAUUUUCUUGUCAAAUGUACUUGCAUGAUUCUUGCACGAAUCUCAAUGAUUCAAUCAAAUGGUUGUUAGCAUUGAUUUUUUUUUCGGGGAAGUAUUGAUUUAGAAAUAGUUAUUUCUCACUAUCUUAGAAAUAGCAAAACCGUUUUAAAUUUGUCUCUUAUUGAAGUGAUUUUCAUUUUUAUCUCUUAUUUGUAAAUUUGUCAUAUUGUUUACCCCCAUUUUGAAUUGUGUGCCACAUUUUACUCCUAAGUUGUUAUAAUGUGUCAAGUUUUACUCCAUUUAACAAUUUGGACUAUGCCAAACGGAUUGGUCCCACCCAUACAUCGCUAGAGUAAUUAGAAUACAUACCACUCAUAGACAUAAUUAUGCAUGGUGUUUUCUUCCUACUGGUGCACAUGACCUGCCUACACACUCCCUCUCUUCUUGAUGGGGGACAAAACAUUGCGCAUGUCGUCCCUGGUUGUAAGUUCUUGGUUGCAAGCAUGUUUUGUAUUUUCUAUUGUUCUUCUCAAUGGUAGGAGAAAGAUGACACGAAGCCACCACAAUAGUACGAUUUAGUGAGCUAGGGUAGGUGGGGAAAUAGGCCCGAUAUAAUGGAUAGGCAUGAAAAAUUCUUCCAUGCUUAUGCUUUCGAGUUGGCAACACAAAGUCAGUUGAUGCUUCGCCCUUGAUAAGUGUGUGUAGCUAGUCAAAAAUGGGGAAAUUGUUAAAUAGGUAUUCAUCAAAUGCCCAUGCGGAGAGAACUAGAAUGAAAACAUAAGUGAGGCUUGGUUCUAUAAAAAGAUUCAAAACAAUUUAUCUGUAAACAAAGUCACAAGUACUAAAUUGUUUCAAUUGUUAAUGCAGUUGACCAUCAGCGUGCAAUUGCCCCACCCCCCAUCUGAAAAUCCAAAGAUAAAUAAACCAUGCCGUUUAAUUCCUUGCCACUUUUUUUGUGUGGGGGAAUUCCUUGUUGGUUUUGACCAACGUACCGUUUCUCCAAGAUCCCGAAAUGCAAACACGGAGUGAACCAACAGAACAACCAUGCAUGCAUUCCAAGAAGGAACUAAGAGCAAGUCCAGCAGGUCCCCAAUCUCCUCCCCUAUAACGUUUUUAGGGGGAAAAGCCCAGAAACGAGGCUCCAGCAGAUCCCCAAUCAUCUCCCCCGAAUUUCCGCAUCCCUGAUUCCACCAUCCUUCUCCCCUACAGAUCGGGGCGCCCGAGCUCUCCCCUAUCCACGUCAGGGAGCAACCGUCGUUCCCAGAUUCUUCCUCCCGCCACCACCCGCGUCAACAGGUUCGUCCCCGUCCUCGUUUCUCUUCAAUCUCGUUCGCAUCGAGCUCGAAUCGAUCUCCAUACGCACUAUCAUGGUGGGAUGAGAGAGGAUGAAGUAGAUAGGGAAGAGCAGGGGUAGGUCGGGGCGUUCUGGAGAGGAGGGGAGGGGCAGGUCGCGGCGGCGCCAUGGGGCUUCGUGGUGGCACCAUGGGGCAGGGGAGGGGCGCAUCGCGGCCUGGAGAGGAGGGGAGGGGCAGGUCGCAGCGGCGCCCAAGCCGAUCUCCUCUCCUUCUCGUCUGAGUUCCUUCUCUGUGAGAAUUAGUACAGAUAGAUUUUGUGAGAGACAAAGUUCAGAGUUCCUUCUUGCUAAUUAGUAAUACAGAUUUCAUUACACCCUCAGUACGGAUUUCUAUUUGUAGAUCAUUCCAGGAGCUCAAUUCUCAAUUCUAAAAUUCUCAAUAUGUGAAUCUUUUGUUUUUGUUUCAGAUUUUGGUAAUGUAAAAUCAGAGUUAUAAUGGUUAUACCGAUCUCUUGCAAAGUGAUGUCGGAUUGGACGAUUUGCACUGGUCUGGAGGGCAUGGAGAACAACACAUCGAUCUCGAAGGGCAUGAAGAACAACACAUCAAUCUCGAAGAGACUCAAGAAGCUACCCCUCCUGUGAAAACGAGUGCUAAGAAAGCAAGGGCUUCAAAAGCAAGUGCUCCCAAAUCAAUCACUUCGAAGAGGCAAAAAAAAUUCAGCCAGGCUGAAGACUUGACUUUGUGUGAUGCAUACCUCGAGAUAACUCAAGAUCCAAUCAUAGGGGUUGACCAAUCUCGUGAUUGCUACUAGAAAAGAAUAAAUGCUUACUUCCAUGCCAACAAGACUGAAGACUCAGAUAGAACACAAAGUUCUCUUCAACAUCGUUGGGCUAUUAUUCAAGAACAAGUGAAAUAAGUUUAGUGCAUGUUAUGCUCAGGUUAUGAACAGAAACCAAAGUGAGAUGACACAUGAGAAUAAGGUAACACAUAUGCUUGUCAUGGUUUGUGUUAUGUUAAUUCCUUUGGUCAUAGGAUGUUCAAUAUUCAGAUUUAGAAUUACAUGUUCUACAUUCAGAUUUAGAAGUACAAGGAACCUGAACUGCAGCUUGACAUAUGGAGUGGCUGUUUGCAUAUGUAUAUGAAUAGUAAUUAGUCUUUUUUGUAGCUGAUAUUCUGUUCAGAUUUAUAUGUAGCUGCUGCAUGUUCUAUAUUCUAUUUUGGAACCUAAACUGCAGCUUGCUAUACGAAUAGAAACGGCUUCAUCUAGUGUGUUGUUGACUAAUGCAUAUAUGUAUCAAUUGCAGCUAGCUCAAGCAAUUGUCAAGUAUGCUAGCGAUGAGGGAAAUAAAUCAUUUGGACUAAUGCAUUGCUUUAAUAAGUUGGAAGACACCGAGAAGUGGAAAUCUCGACCCAAAAUGAUAAAACACAAGACAGACAUGCUCCAUGGAUACUCCAGGUGCAUCAUCUAGUGUGUUCGAGGAUGAAGCUACAUCUCCCUCCAAAAGUGUUCCCACGAAAAGGCCAAUUGGUCAGAAGAGGGCUAAAGAAGCACAACGACGAGCUAAUGCUUCGGGUUCAUCAUCUAGGGAGUUGAUUGGUGAUAUCUUCGAGACUAAGGAGUCAAAGAGACAAGAAAGAUUUGAGCUCAUGCUUGCAAUUGACAAAGAGAGAGAAGAUGAAAGGUUGGCAGAAGAAAGAAAUAGAAGUGCAAUCAAACAAAAAAAAAGGUGGCAUUACAAGAAGAAAAGAUACAAAUCUUGAGAAUGACAGAGGAACGCUUGGCAGCAGCGAAUAAACGUUUGGCGGUAGCAGAAGAUGACAAAAUAAUGAGCAUGGACAUUAGUGGCAUGGGCGAGGAAGAAAAAUAAUUCUACAAACUAAGGGAGUCAGAUCUUGAAGCGACUUCGCAACUAAUUAUGUAUAUUUUCGAACUACUUGGAUUUAGAUUUAGCUAGUCUGUAUUGUAGUAUGUACUAAUUAUGAAUUUCGAACCAUUUGGAUUUGGUAUUAUGUGCUGUGAUCUGAACUAAAGGAAGAGGUAGCCGUCGAAUUUCGAAUGAUAGUUAUAGAAUUUUUUUAAAAUAUAUAAUAAGUGAGAUUUUUUAGGAGAACUAUUUUAGGAGAACUGCUGGAGUUAGAAAUUUAGAGAAGAAUAUUCGGAGGGACCGACCCCAACCCGUCCCGCGUCGAUCACCCUCCUCUGCGUACGUAUGUCGCCACCCCAGGGCCCAGGCGGGUCUCGACGCUUGCGCGGUGCCGUUCUGUUCUGGCUGCUGUAUACUCGUGCAGACGCCGCACAUGCCUCGUUGCAGCGCAGUUCCCCCAGCCCAGCACGGUGAACAGUCACGACGCGCGCGCGCCAGCUCGCUCAGACGACCUGACGACCUACGCCUACUCGAUCCUAGCAGCAGCAGCAGCAGCAAGCUUUAGCAGCAAACGUCAAUAUGCUGUACCUGCGCGCGCGAACGUUGCGUACGAUCGUUCCGCUACGCGACGGCCCCGGCCGAUGGGAUGAAAACUGCCGUUCUUGGUCGCCACUUUUGCCAGUCUCACGUGCCGAGCUUAAGCACCGUAGGCUGGGCGUGGGAUUCCCUUUCUCUGUCAGCGAGCACAGCGCAUGCAGCAGCUAGCGGCAGGGGCCUUUGCCCGGCUGGCUCGAUCGGCCCUUUCGGGACUAGAACAUGAGGACUCAAAAUCGCAAAGUUUUAGCUGUCAGCUGUCUACAUGAUCGCUUGCAUCGGAAUGUCAGAUACACACACAUACAUAGCCUGUCUUCGUGUAUAUGCGCAGGCGAGCAAAGCAGGCGGGACCAGGGCUGUAGGAGAGCCAGCCGUUAUCUGACAAUCUCAGGGUACUACUAUACGCGUGCACAGGAGAAAUGGCUGUUCCGUGUUAUGCAGCCAGUUAAACUGUACACUUAACUUUGCAUGGUCGCAUGCACGCACAUGCAGCUGCCGUUUAUUUUCUCAUUGGUAGCAACCGCAUGCCGCGAUUUAACUACCGCCCGUGACAAGGUCGACGCUGGGAAUAUGCUGAUGGUGAUGGGACAGGAGACGCUGCCCCCAUGCAUGCAACCCAUUUUUUUAUGGAAGCCGCGCGCUCCAACGCAACUUCAUACUCGCUUCGAUUUCAAGAUAAUGGUAGCGGUACGACGACUUUCGCAACGAGUCGAUCAUGGAAGUUGGUGAGAAUAUUUUGUAGGUUGCUGCAUUUCCCUAUACAUUGUGUGGGCAAAUACCCAAAGUAUUGCACAGUAGUGUACUUUACUACUGCUGUUUGGGCCAUGGAAGUUUGCGACUUUGUUUACGAGUAGCCUUGAAGCGUGCCCUGCCCAUCACCAAAGAUUUACGGGGGUUAUCCUUGCAAAAAGAGCACGGAAUCCAAAAAUAUGUUUGCGUGUUAUUCUCUCGGGAAAUUGCUAUAGAUCUGUACUAUCAGCAGCAUGUUUGUUGCACAAGUAUCAUGUCGGUAUUGAUUAGGAGUAUUAGAUUCCAAUACGCCUUCCAGUGAUUUCAAGUUUUAAACCAGCAUCUAGUAAGUAAAUGCAGGGAGCAAACGAUGGAACAGAUUGCGCGAUGAGCACCAAACGAGCUAAUGCCCAAUUUUUAAAAUAAGCUGACAGUUUUGCUAUAUCAAUUGUCCGAUUUUUAGAUAGGGAUAACUCAAUUGCUCAGCUGUUGGAUCUGAAUUGUGUUUUAAGAUUUGAAAUGAAUGAGGGAUGGGUUGAGUUUAGAUGGCGUCCAAAUCCAAUGGUACUGAUAAGUCGAUUGAGAUUUAAACUUUUUGUUUAAAAAUUAGGCGGUUGAAAAAUAGACACACACAUAAACUAAAGAUACACAAUCUCUGGCGGAGUAAUUAAGCAGGAAAUUUUGACCCGGUUUUACGACAAAUUAAAAUCAUAUCUAGAAACAUCGAGAGCGGCCCCUUGUCCGGCCAGGCGGACCAAUCGACCAGGCCGACGAACUUGCUACACUUGCAGUACGAGUCCAUCAUAUUUCUUAAUUUUCCCUAUUUAUAAAAAGGUAGAGUCUAUUUCAUCCGAUUGAGAUUUUCUAAUCAUUUGUACUUGUAUAAUUUUUUGUACAAUUUUAAUUGAAUCAGACAGUUGUUAGCAUAGACUUAAAAAUAGUUAUUUCUCAUUCCUCAUAUAAAUAGCAAAACCGUUAUAAAGUGUUGGAUGCCUCUUCGUAGCCGACAUAAGCCAAUUCCAAGUGGAAGCGCCUUGAAUUUCCACUUUAUCAACGGGAGAGCGUUGGGACCUUUCUCUACAUCCAUGCAUGGUCCGGAACCUUAUCCGGUUAUCCCCAAUAAUGAUCCAUCUCCCGCGGUAGAAAUUAGCAGUUUCGCACCGCGAGCCACGGUGCGCUCGGUGGGCGCGUCCUGCCGUUUUCAAGCGUGGUCACUGCUUUUUUUUUUCUUUUUUUGAAAGGGCAUCCACUGUUAUCCAUCAUACGCAGCACAAGUCUGGGGGAAGAAAAUGCUGUAAAAAAAAGGCUGGGGGAAGAAAACGACGAGUGCAAACCUUUUUUUUUUUGCAGCGAGUAUGCAUGUGCCACGUACAGCCCACAUGGUAGACUAAGUUGACGCGCGGAUGAUGAAUGCCUUAAUGCAAGGUGAAAAGUUGCUCAAAAUGCUCAGUGUUCUUAGUUGCAUCGAUCCGAUAUAUACUCCUAACUACGGAGUACACUCAAAAUGAUGCGAGGAAUGAUCUUCACGAGGAUAUAGACUCCAACGGAAGCCGUGCAUCUGUUUUCUUCCAAGAAAGAAGAACCUCUUCUAGAAAGGAGCACGAGGUUUUGAACUUUGAACCCCGUGUUAUCUCAAACCACGACCGCCUGCUCUAGCGCUGUGGGCUGUGGCACCCGAGCAGGCAAGCGGGCACCGGCAACCCCUCGAGGUAUCAUUAUUGUGCCAAAGAUGCCACGGAAACUCACAAUCAUGUCCAGAGCUGCUUUUCCAAACGACAGAUUCUUGGUUAGAUAGCUCAUGAUGUAAAACGGUUCUUGACUCGUUCGUACCGACUUUAUGCUCUGGGGUUUACCUUACGCCUACGCCAGAACGUUUCUUUUCAUAUCAGGGCAAACAAAUGAGCUGAAAAGAAAAAUCCGUGCCCUAUAGGAGUAGCAAAAGUAGUACGUUUUGGUCGGGCAGAUGCUUCCAAGAAAAGCGUGAUUUCAGCUGUGCAGAGAAUAUGUAGCUUCGUACUGUGAGAACUGAGAAGGUACUGUACAGUAUGUACCUCUCUAUCACAUUGCCUUGUAAUUUCAUGAAAGAAAAGCUGCAUGUUCAUCAGAGGUGAAAAGAUGCAGUCAAAAAACUUGGGAAAUUGAUCAGCACACUUUGAAAGUGUUUUGACCGUCCAGUUGUCGGUUUACUUUAUCCAUGGAGCCAUACACUACGGGGUACAUACACGAACGUCAGGCCCUCUUUGUUCAAUCAAUGGCAAGACUGACACCACACUUUUCGACAAAAAAGAAGAGCAUGAAAUGGCCAGAUCUUUUUUACAGAUCAUCUCUCCUUGAGCUCCCUUGUUUUCACAUUAUUUCUCCUAUUUCAACAUUCAACAACAAACAGAUAGGUGAAUCUACAUACAUAUUGUGGCAAUAUUUACAAUUAACUCCAUACAGCAGUUCAAGCAGUUAUGAUUGUAUCAGUGAUAUAAAACAACUAGCUUACAGCCAUACACAGUACAUGGACUUAGGCCAGCCUCUUCUAAACUGGGGUGAACAGCAAUGAAUAGAUCUAAGUCAUAACUCCACCUGUAUAUUACAGCCUUACACAGUACAUGGACUCCGCCUAGCUAUGCCUAAAUUUAGGUCAAAGUUGCAUCAAUCGAAAUGCAUCAUCCACUAACAGGUCAAUCUGGACCCGCAACAAAUAACACUUCCAAGGAAUACUGGGCAUGGAGCUACCACAUUACGCCAUCCAGAGACAACAUGGGAGUCUCCCUGAUGCUAUCCAUAGUAGAGCAAGAACUGAAGAGAGCGAGAUCAGAAGUACCAAACAAACGGUUCUUGGGGUUGCCUUUGGCUAGUGUUAUAUUUUGGUCAUCUUCAAAAUCAUUGCAAAUACUUCCAUUCGACGUGAGACCAAAGAUAGCCCCCAAACUACCACCAUGAGAUUGGACGUGAUGCACUGAAGACCACAAUUCUUGGGAAAAAUCACACAAACUUUCCCAGUCUUGCUUACAAGGAUGCUCUGAAUAUGAAGACAGGGAAUUCAGGCAUGUGUCAUUUGCAUCCACAGGGAAAAUGCUGUUACUGUCCUUUGAAUCAUGAUGAUGAUCAAGAAUUCCAGAUGUGUACUUGGAAAAGCUUGAAGCAGUGAAUUUCACAGGUAACUGAUCCAAUCCAUGCAGACGCCCAAUAUCAGAAAUCAAACAAUUCUGCCUCUGACGAAUAUUUCUCCUCCGUUUCAGCAAAACAGGACAUACGGACAGCAGAGUCAGAAAAGCUCUUUGGGCGCAGCUCAGAAGGAUAAUCUGAAGUUGAACAUAUAGAAUUCAGGCAACUCCUGUUUGUAUCCAACAGAAUGUUGUUUCUAUCACUUACAUGGAAGUUGUAAGUGUCACUAAAACUAUUGUGAUCAAGAAUUCCAUCUUUGGGGCCCAAAAAGCUUGAAGAAGUGCAUUUUGCAUGUAACUGGCCAAACCUAGAUAGAAGUCCAGCGUCAGAAUUAUCAAACAAUCCUGCCUCAACUGAGUCUCCCCCCUCCAAUCGAACUGACCUAGAAGUACAACGCUCUAGAGAGCUGCAAAGCUCAGGUUGCCAGAAAGUAUUAGAUACCUCAUGUGGUACCAAAGACUGCUCCACAGUCUGACAGGGUAAGAACAUUCUAUCUGGAAUUGAUUCUGCGAAUGUUUCUGAUAACAUAGGAUCCCAUCCAUGAUGAUCAUAUGACCCAGUUCGAAUAAUACAGCCCAACUCAUUAGCUGAAAUUGGUUUGACUCUGCUGUGUGGUUGGACAUCUUCUAGCAACCAGUUGGAAACUUGGUUGUGAACAGUUUGUCUUUUCAUAUCAAAACUUGCGAGAUCUAUAGUAUGUGCUGAUCGUACUGGCAUGCAGUCAUGUGCUUCAUUAUCCCCACAAGGUAAGCCAUUUCUCCAAUCAAGAAAACUUGGAAGAUCCUGAUGGGCAGGAGUAUUUCUGCAAACCAUGUUCCUCUUUCUCAUGGGGUCUUUCUGCUGCUGCAGUGCAUUAGGUAACUAUCAGAAAUAAAACUGGUAACUUGUGAAUACAACUAACUUUGAAUAGGGAUAAUACAGUACGUACAAAUCUUCAAAUUAUAGAGGAUCAGCAAAGAAUACCUUUCUUAUUAUGUUGUCGGCGCCUAAUCUUUGCAGGAUGUCAGCAAAAAAUUCUGAUCUGAGAAAAUUAAUUCAUCACACCAGCAAUGUUAGAUUACAUGAAAUAUAAACUAAUGGAAUUCUUCAAUAUAUAACACAACCUUCUUUGGAACAACUCACAACUUUCCAUUGACACUGUUUUUGCAGCUAGCUUUAAUAAUAUCCUUCUCUUAUCUGAAAACAUCCGUCCACUCCCAUGUUCUAUGUCUGUUAGUUUACCACGGUAGAAAAUUUUUGUCAUUAGCAUCCCAGUCAGCCAGAUGAAUGAAUGACAUGUAAAUUGCUAUACACUGCUAACAACAUAUAUCUCAGAAGUACAACCUUACAAAAGCUUUAGGAAUUCGAGAAGUAUUCAGAAUCUAGACGGGAUUAUUCAUCAUCUCAGGAAGCCAACCUAUCUACAGCAGUAAAUGUGCUUGUAUCAGCCAACCAUUGCAGCACACAUAUCUGCUUUGGAUUGUUGGCAUGAUAUCAUCAUAUCCCAAUUUAGAGGUUCCAAUCUAUUGUCCUCUCCCAACCAUGGUAAAUAAAGCUUCAACUACCACAGACACCAUGAUAGUAGAAUGUAUGUGAUAUGUCAUAUGACUGGACAAUUUCCAUGAAGAUUAACUGCUGCACAUAGCAAAACUUUCGGCAGUAUCUAGUACUCCCUCCGUCCCAUAAUUCUUCUCGAAAUAUUACAUGUAUCUAGACGCUUUUUAGGAAUAGAUACAUCCAUUUUUGGGCAAAUUUGAGACAAGAAUUAUGGGACGGAGGAAGUAUUUCUUUUGAGAACACAGCAAUAAAGUAUGAUUACACUGUAUUUGUAUUGAGUGAUGAGCAUGUGCUCACCAGUAUUUCUUGAAAUCCCUGCAAGUUCAAAUGGUGUCUUGAUCAUGGGUGUGAAAACCUGAACAGUUGGCAGGGAAUCACAUGGUUUUAACUGAGGUGUAUCAUGAUUGUCAUAUUCUGCAGAGAAGAGGAUCAAUAGUUAGAAGACUCUAAAGAUUCGCCAUUCGUGAUUAAAGGGGAGGCCACAGUAUCAGACCAGAAUGCGAGGCUUGCACUUUCACUUGCUCAUCAGAGAUUUUGUUAUUCGCGGGUGUUGCAGGGGCCUCAACGGAACACAGAGUAACCUUGUGGACAGGAAACUUCUUGUGCGAUGUCACAUUAUGUGAUUCUACAAGACACAUCAAGAAUACAAGAAGUUCAUAAGAAAUUAAGAAUGAUCAAUUGCAGCUUCCAUUAAUGUUUGAAGUAAGGAAGCAAAGAGAAUAGGAUUAUAGGACCACAAAUGAAUGAACGUGAUCUACAGCCUGAGUACUUCCAUUAAUGUUACAAACCUAUUCGAUUGCCCUCUUUUUGCUUGUAUAUGUCUGGCACAAUAUUUUGAUGAGGCUGUCUGAAGGAACGUGAUCUACAGCCUGACUGCUCCCACAAUUUCUUGAAGAAUUUGAAUUCAGUAGUUUUCGCAUCAGAACCUGCAUCUGCAUAGGAAGUGCCCAGAUAGGAUAAUGAUACAAUAACACAUAGAAAGCCAUGUUACAUGGCUUCAUCAAUCUAACAGCUACUAUACAAAAACCCUUUUGAAUAUUUUGAACCCUUGAUUAGGAAUUUAAAUAAGCAGCUAAGUUGGUACAUAAGAAAAACAUUAUUUUGAAAAGAUUAAAGAAACUUACUGCAUUGUAAAGCCCAAAGGGGGGGAUUAUGUAAAUUUAGUACAGUUUGAAAAGAGAGGAGUUACAGUGAGAAUACACGCACCUUGGGCCUUAGUUUUCUCAGCUCUGCUUGUGUUAGAAUCCUGUCUCGCAUAUUCACGAUGACUACCAGCUUUGCUCUCAAACCGAACCUUUUUUAUUGGCCUUCCAUCUGCCAUUAUGUGCUCAAUAAUUCAGUGAUGACAUCAAAGCAAGAAAAUGCAGAAUGAUUUCCAGGAUACCAAACUUUCACUGAAGAAAGGCUGCAAUAGAACACGAUGGAAUUUGAGAGUAAAUUUUAGAUUAACCAAUAGCCAAACCUCUAAACACGAUUUCCAAAGAAGAAGCAAAAUCCUAAAAUACAACAUAAAUCGCACAUACCAUUUUCAAGAAAAACAUGCAAGAAAAGAUGGAAACAUCAACACGUAGGCAAGGAUCGUAAGCACACAUCCAUAAACUAAGAGCAAAUCCUACUAAAUGGAGACCAAAAUGAUCCCAACUUCCCCAAAAAUGCCAUGACCUUUUCUGUUACUCUCCCGAAGAAAAGCCAGGAUCACAAAUAAUUAGAAUCGUACACCCCCCAAUCCCACGCAACCCCAACUCAACCCACAAGAUGGGAACUUCUGUUCCGAUCUUUCCGCAAGAACUCUAUCUACCUAGAGAGGGAUAUACCUAAAUUCAAAGCAAGAAGCGCGAAGGCGGUGCAGGUGGGCGAGACGGACCUGGGGAGGAGGGAUCUGGGCGAGGCCUCGACGCCGGCGGGGGCUGAAAGGCCGUGCCUCGUGGUGGUCGUGGUGGCUUAAGAGGGCCGCUGCUAGGGUUCUUACGCUGGGGGCGAUCCAUCGCUCACGCCGCCAGGGUCGGUGCGCGCGCCAAAACACGAGCGUGGGAGGGGAAGUCUGAAGGUAGCAGAGCCAGGCAGGAGAACCGAAGGCGCAGGCAGAUCCAGGCAGGAUUGGGAAGAAGAAGCCCAACGGGCCCAACAUCAACAGGCAGGGUCAGCGAUUGGUUUCAUACACCAAAGCUGUUGCUUUCCGGCCUGCUAAGAUGAGGUCCUUUUUUUUAGCAGGAAAGAGUAAAAAGAGAAGGAGAAAGUUAAGAUGAGGUCUUUAUGUUGAAAAGAGUCAGUACCAUGUUUAAGCUGGGGAACAGACUAGAAGGGCUAACCUUAACAACAAUUUCAGAAUUUGUGAAUUGUGAGAUAGAUCACCACGUUUGCCACGUGGUACAACAAUUUCAGACUUUGCUUCAGUAAGUAAUCAUCUAUCAGGUUCUGGGAUAUGUGAAUCAAUAUCAAAUUUUGAACUUUUUAUAAUGGAGAUGGAAGGAGGCUCACCUGGACCUUUCUAUGUUCCUGACAAUGAAUGGAAACAACAGCAUAUAGUUAAAUACAUGUUGUGCAUUGUCUGUUCCUGAACAAUAUAAAAGAAAGCAAUACUAUAUGCUGGACACCUAAAUAUGACACAUAGAGAAAAACCACAUACAACUCCAUGUACAUAUGCACUUAUAGUAGUUUACCGCAACUUCUGAAACUUUUUUCUAAAAACCACAACUUUUGUGAUAAUUAUACAUGAAACAUUUAAACUACUCGUCUAGUGGUGCAUUAUGAGAAUGUUGGGGCGGAUGUACGUGGGAGCACAGAUGGGGGCAUGCAGAAGGCCCAUCAAUUAAGAAAUCCAAUUAAUUACAAAUUAAUCUCACCAUUUUGCACAUUAGUUUCACAUCAGAAAGUUUGGACAAUUUUUCUCAUAAAUAAUAUUCAUAUGUGCAUAAAACUGAGUGUUGUGAACGAUAUUCUAAUUCAGGAUUUUAUUAUCAAGAUACAUGUGAUUCAAUAGGUAUUUAUUCCAAUUUGUACCGACACAAGUCCGUCUUUGUACCCCGACACUAUUUGCUCUGACUCUAAAUCCAAAUAUGUAACAAAAGGAAUGGGGUGAUCAAUUCUAUAACUGCCGCAGUUGUGUGGACGAUUUGGAAACAUCGUAAUGAUUUGUUAAUUGCUCGACAUAUUUGGUUAAAUAUUCAGGUACUAUGGAAGAGAUUAUUGUGCUUGUUGAAGCACUGGCAACCGCUGUGUCCGAAGAGGAACAUUCUGAUUUGGCACAGGUGCCUGCUGCUUCUGGAGAACAAGGCCAUGGAGGUACCCCGGCUGCGAUAAGAAAGAAACGUCGCAUGAUGCUUGCUGGCCCGGGGACCCCUCGGGUGACUGAGCAGAAACCUCUGAAGCUGUUUUGAAGGACGCUGAAGAUAUGAUCAUCAGGAUGAUUAGAUCCCUCGCCUUUGUCUGGGAAACUGCUGUGGCUUAUGUCUGUAAUAACUGUUUGUUUUGUUCGUUUUUGGCGCCUGUUUGGUGCGUUGCGUGUUCUGUAAACUGAACCUAACAGAUGAUGUUUCGUUUCUGCUGAAAUGGAACUGGGCAAAAAGACUUUUAUCUAAAAAACAUGAAAAUGAAAGCAAAUGCUACAACUUACUCUCUCCUUUUCAGUUUAUAAGCCUUAUCGCAAAAAUCUCUACUUUUUAGUACGUAAAAGUCUAUUUGUCUUGAGAACAAGCUAACUAUGGCUCCAAUGAACCAAUAGUUGAAAAGGACUAUGUGUGCAUAUACACUUCUUUAAUGAUUAGUCUAGUAGUAGUAGCUAAGUUGGCACUCCUUAGUGUCAAUUAGGAGAUAGACCUUACAAUCUGAAAGGAAGUGAGUAUAUGACAUUUGACCGUAUUCACUCCAAUUUCACCCCUAUGGUAGUCCUCGGCAUGCAGCUGCGAGAUCGAAUUAGCACGCAUGAAAGUUGCAGCUAAACUCAAGUUCAACCGUAAAAUGUUUCAAGCUACAUAUGGUACGCAAAUCACAUGGCGAUAUAACAAAACAUCGUAGACUGCUAAAUAUUUCAUAAUUGAUGUUGACUAUUGACAUAUUUGUCCGCAAGAGCCAAAAUAGAAAAAUGGGAAAGAAAACGGUCAUGAAGCUGCAUUGUCUGUUCUCUUUGUACAACGUCAGAAUUUGGUGCAAAGGCUUGCCACAUAUCCACAUCACACAAGAAAAUAGACACCACAAGGAACGCUUAUCACACAAGAAAAGCCAUCAGCUAAAUACAUGAGCGACAUCUGUAUGUUCUAUACAAAUGCACAAAUGAAUGAAAUCCCAGCCCAUCCGAACAAAUACCCAUAUGGUACACAGACGAUAAGAUUUAUUGGUUAGCUUCGAUCGGUGCACCAGACCUUGCCUGAGAUAUUCGAUUCGCAUAGAUUGUAACAAGCCGCAACUGUGUGCUACUGAGCCCCUCCAAGUAUGGUGCAAAUGCUUUCCCUAGCAUGAUGUAGAUAUCUACCAAGCAGAAUACAACAGUCUGAAAGGAAGUGGAAGGGAUAUCAGAUGUGGAACAUUAGAGAUGUUUAUUAAAUCGAAGUCAAAAUAUUGACAUAGAUAAUCCAGAUGACAAUGUCACCCAGCAAAUGUGGGGUCAAGCAUGAUUAAUGUGCACUAACAAUGACUGAAAAAUGAACAUGGUUCACCAGAAAUUCAAGAGAGACCAUGCACUAAAGCUUCCAAGUGCUAACCACGCUUCGUAUUGAGAUAUCUAUAAAGAAGUAUAAUUGCAAUAGGCAUGAAGAAUUAUUCUAAAAAUAAUGCUGGUUACUAUCCCCGAAGAGUGCCAGUAGCCAGAAGGGUUGUCGUAUUUCCUGGGUGGGGAAAUUUCAGAAGAAAAAAAAUUCUAACACAUCUUGUACCAAUUUAAUAUAGGGCGAAGCUCUAAAUCAAAGAGAUCCAUAGGUUAGCAGAUACGAAGUAAAAACAGAUCCGGGACAUGCUUAUUUCAGUUGUGUCAAUACAAAACUCGAACGGUAAACUAAACUAAACAGAUCAGUUGAGGAACUAGCACUGCCUAUAAAAACGGUAAGGUCAUUCAUAAGAACAAGUAAAUCACCUUGCGAAUAUCAGGACUUUGGUUACUGAAAGCAUCAAAAAGUGCUGGUAAAAAGGAAGGCAGUUGAGUCACCAACUCGUCAUGUGAAAGCCGCCCAACAAGCUGCAACAUUGCCAGGAGAAUACCAACAGUUAAACCAUUACUCAGGAUAUAUUGCUAUAGUUAACCAGAAUAGUGGACAACUCUACGAACUAAUAGUAAUCAAACUCUUGCCAGUCGAUUCUUCCCAUGUAGAACAUUUAAUUUCCCUCGAUAUCUAGCGAUGCUGCUUACAUAGAACAUUUAUUUGAUCGCUGAUGUACACGGGUUAUCAGAUCCAUAGUUAUCAAGCCAAGGAGGCAGGGAACAUGGGCCUGGUGACUACAGACGCACAAUCCAGGGAAACACUAGAUGAACCUGAACCAUCAGCCCUCAGAUCAAUAGUCAUCAAGGUAUGAUGGAGUGGAUGACCCAGAACCAUUCCAUUAGCUCAUGAAAACUUUACAUAGAGAACUUGGCAAAUGAUUCUUCAAAUAAAAAAAUUGUUUUAUUUAAAGGUUACAUGGUGCCAAUAGUAGCUUGCAGCUCAUAACAUAGUCAAACACAGACCAUGGAAUCAGGGUUAGAGACACAAACAAGUAACAGUAAUAUGUAUUAAAUCCGGGUUGUUGAUAAUUCACAUGACAAUAUGCCACAUAAAAUGAGUUGAUUAUUCCUUGCCUGAUCUGAUAUAUUCAUCUAAUUACAUAUAAAGCUAAUACUGUACUAUUUAAAAUUAGCGUGAAACUAAAAACUAAGAUACCUUUGUCAAACAGUUGAUACACAUGAUAAGUGUCUUCUCGUCGUCACUGACUAGCAAGGGCACAAUAACCUGCAGCACAAACAAACAAAAUUGUGCUCAGUAGUAUAAGUUGCUAGCUACAACAACCACAAGAAGAUUAAAGCACUGGACAUACAUCAAGGCAUCUAAAAGGAUCGUAUUUUGCCAACACAACAUUUAAGUAUUGGUUUGCUUCAUUUGAAAUCUGCAUCAGCAGUAAAAAAAUAUUAGCACAGCAUAAACAAAAGAUAACAGCUUAAAUGAAAGAAAAUAUACCUUUGCCACAACAUCUUUGGUGACAUGCAGUAUCUUUUCAAGGACAAUCUCUACGGAUUCUUCCAUAGGAUCUUUCUGAGAAAAUAAUUGACAAUAUUAAUCAUCAAGCUACCAGCAUGAUUACCUACUUAAGUGCACUAUACAUGAAUACAAAACCUGAUUGUGGAGCAUCUCAGCAACUAGCGAUAGAGAAAGCUCCCUGAGAGAAGAAUCAGAGUCAUCCAACACCUCAAGGACAGUUGUUAAAAUCUGAUUGAAAUACUAUUUAUAAAGAAAAGGGGACAGGUAUUAGAAUAUAAAUAUGAAAUAUAACAUAUAGAAAUACUCCGUCCCUAAGUUCUUGUCGUGAUUUUAGUUAAAAUUUGCACUAAAGCCACGAUACGAAUUUAGGAACAGAGGGAGUAACAAGAAGUGACAUAUUAGACACAGGAACGUGUAGUAACUGUUUAGAUAGAAUCCAAAUGUCACUUUUCUCUGUUGUUGAGAUGGUGAAGUAUUCAUCAUUUACAGAAACCAUGUCAUCAAGAGUAGAAAAUCGAGCAGGCGGAUUGCACCAGAAAGAAGGUAUUUAAAAAAAAUAACAAUAGGAGACAGAGUACUCUAUUAGUCUAAUGAAAGUGAAUGAUGAGUCACCAUAUUCAAAUCAGAUAAAAAGGAAGAUGAUGCAUUCUCAAGCGUACUGCAUUUCUCUCCCUCCCACCUGGCAUACUCUCCAGAAAUCCUUUAUUCUCUUACCAGUCAGAUGGCAGAUCGAAAAAAAGUUAAGAUUGAAUGAACUCAAAUGCACAAUGAAAUACUUUGUUAAGCUCAAUUAUAAACACACAAAAAGAAAGCAGUAAGAAUAUCAAUGGUUCUAGUCAAAAAUAAAAUGGAAAUUUCAAAUGAAUUUACAGACCUUUGGCCAUAUAGAGUUAUCAUUGUUGGCGGAAGCUUUCACCAACUGAUGUAGCGCAUCCUGCUUCUCUAAGCAUGAAACUUCUCUAUCAUUACUUAUCUAAAAAAGGUAGAAAGCCAUAUAAUCAUGACGUUAUUUAGGAUGAUGAGAAGUAAAAGCAACACAUAGCAUCAUUACUAUCAGAACCAACAAAGAUGAGGGGGGCAAGGACAUAUCAGAAGUACCAGAUGAAGAAGCUGUGGUAUGCUGGGGUUGUCAGUUGUGUGCGAGGCAGCCUUCACAGAACUAAGGUCGACAAAUUGGUGUAUGUCUUGAUUGUUCACCCCAACAAUCGAAGCAACAGCAUUAUGUCCAUCAGAAACAAGAACAUGGCAAAAAUCCUGGCGAGGGGUGCCAGUAGAAUUUUCAUCAUCGAUGGUGGCAUCUGAUUUUUCAGGAUAAUCUGCCCAUGAGCGUGCAGCUUCUACAACUGAGCGAGCAUUACUCUUUGAUUCCCUACUUGCUGUAAGAAUUUCAGGUUCGUAGGUAGGUUUGAAACAUUGGUCAGCAUGGUCAGUGCCAACAUCAGAGGUUGUUCGGCCAAUGGAGACAUUAAGAAAUGUUGAUUCUUGCACUGCAUUCCUCUUCUCCGCUUCAUUAUCAAGGGAACUUGAAGAAAACCGUCCAAACGGAUAGUUCUUCCUUGAUGUCAGAGUAUAACCAUCUUCAGAAGAAGCUCCCAAAUCAGGCUGUUCAUAAGACUUGGGACGUGAACGUUCUUUCUUGCUUUGCAGGUAGUUUACCAGGUCAACCUCAAUGCGAGGAGUAUAUUGCUUGAGAGCUCGCCUCACAAGGUUUUGUUCUUCAACUGACAAGUUUAAAAUGAAAUUUAGGACUGCCGCUGAAUCAAAAUGAGAAUAAACUGAUAUGAUUCCUUUGAUGGAUGUUUCCUUCAACUUUGCAUUCUUUUCAUGUACUAAAGGUGCUAGUUUUGAAAGCCAGAGCUUAAGAAAACCGCUGUUACUGUAACCCUCAGAGUCUACCUUGUACUUGCUGAAUGAUUUAUUAGCAAACUCAAGAACAGCUAGUUUAGCCUUUGGAGACCUUUGUUCAUCCAGCGAACGUACUAUUGCAGGUAGCAGUGUGUCGAUAGCAUAUGUUCGUCCGACAACUUCCAGGGUCGAGAAACAUGGCUUAGAAACCAAUUCCUUUGGAUCAAUAAGUCUUGAAAAGACAUACGGCAAAAUUCUUUCAACAUAGCUCUCAAAUGGCUUCUUGCAUGCUGGAAUAACAUCUGCAAGCGUGGAGAAAGCUGCCUGUGCAACUUUGUGAUGAGGGUCAUCCAAAUAACGGAAAAAUAGCUUCAUGACCUUUUCAAAGCUCUGAGUAAUCUCCUGAAUGCCCUUCUGUCCUUGCUGCAACAAUGUCUGAACAAAAUUAAAAGCUGCAACUCUUGCCACCCAGUCUGAACUUGGACUAAGACCCUCAGAGAGUGCAUCAUUUAGAGACGCUGGGCCGUCCGUGUAUCCAGACAUGUCAUUAGAUGGGAUGUGGCCAUCAUCAAAACUGUGUCUGACACUCGCAGAAGGCCUUGAUCCCACUUGCUUUCUAAGAGGCCUCUGGAAGUGUGGAACAUUGUGGUUCUGUGAAUUUCUAUAACUGGCAUCCCUAUAAGGCAUAUCAGUGAAGUAUUUGUCCAUAUGCAUUUGUGGUGAUUGUCUGGUUGGCCUUGACCACGUGUCAUUACUCUCACCCGUAAUGCUAUCAUCUUGGGACCUCCCUGUAGAUCUUUUCAUAUAACGCAUUGACAAACCUGACAUUCUUUCAGAUGAUAGAUUACUCAAAUAUGGUGACCUCGAUCGCUCUUUGGUAUCUACCUGAGGCACCGCAUCUACCAAACGCGAACCGCCAUUUCUUCUGGUAGUUAUGCUAGGAAGAGAUGAAUCCAACAAUGCAGAACUCUGCAAAGACAUGUGAUCCGAAGCAGGUACAGCAAGCGGGAUUGAAGGAGCACGAGAGGAUGGAGGAUCAACUCCUGCACUAGGAGGAAAAGAAAAAGAAAUUAAGGAUUCUCAAGUACAUAGAGAUAAGUCAUGAAAGGAAUAGUAAUGAAGACUCGACAACAUAAAGAGCAUUUUGAUGUUCUAUGAAAAAAAAAAUCGUUAAGCAGCAUACAGCAUACCAAGAUCCAAGCUUGUUGAGCGCACAGCUGAGAAAUUUUGCCUGCCUGAGAUGCCAACACCUUUCAAUAGACUCUCAAUGGCUGAAACCUUUUGUUUGCUCGAACUAAGCACACUUUCAAUGCUUCUUUCAGUAUGUCUACCAGCUGCCUUUGACUGUGACAGAAGAAUGCUUGACGAGAGAGACGAUUCGGAGGAAAUUGCUGCACCCUUGUCCAUUGCAACAAUAGAUGAAGUACUGUAUCCGGCCAAAUGUGUAGCACUUGCAUGAGACGAGGCACGAGAAAGUUGAACACCCUUCUCAUGCAAUGAUGAAGGAUACCGCUUGUGCAUGCCCCCAUCUUCAUCAUUUAUUAUCUGCAAAUGCUCCCAGUAUUAGAUCAAACUAACAGAAAUCUCGAACAGUAGCAUAGCAACCCUUGGAACCACCUAAAGCUCCAGGUGUCGAAGAGCCAACAUCGAGGUCUGAACUAACAUAAAUUGCCAUAUGUGGGAGCAGGGGAGCGCGCAUAGCCACCGAGCUACUAGGGCAGCAGCACAACCAAAUUCAGAUGUGCCACCCCAUCCCUUAUGGUUACAUAAACCUAGGAGCAGAUAGCCAUGUAUUACAUAAACCAAAAUUUACACAGUGAUCAUAAUAUAGCUAAAUAGCACUCCUAACUUAUCUCCUCAGUCUUGAACUAAUUAGGAUAAAACAUCCAUCAGUACUUGAUUUGCACUGCAUUCCACAAACUUGCAGACAAUUGGCUAUUAUAGUCAAAUCUAGAAAUAUGGUUGCAAAGUAAACAUCAGUCCUCAGGUUCUAUACGUACCUUUCUUUAAGAAUUAUUCAAACAUAAAAAAGAAACAGUACAAACAACUCGAUCUGCAAAGGGGUAAGCCGCCACCCCCCACCCCCCACCCCACCCCACCCCCCCAGGCAUUUGCAUUAAGAAGACCUUCUCACGCAGGUCAAGAAACCCCCGAACCCCUGCCCCACCCAUACACAGCGGAACCGAAGCCCGUGUGAGACCGGGGGGGCCUUCGGUCUGUGCUUAAGGCAUGGGACAGACGAGGAGUUUUUUAACCCCAGCCUGAAAUUCACUCCCACGGGGAGUCAAACUCAGGACCUGAGUGUACUAGAGUUGUUCCCUUAACCAUUAUGCCAAGGGCUCGUUCAAAAAAAAAAGAACAAGAUAUUAUAAAACCCAAAGGCAAGAACUCUGCUUCCAUGAGAUUCAUAAAAUAAUCUAAAUAAUGUCCUUAGGUGGAAGAUAGUUGCAUGGAUUUUUAAAUCUAUAAGAGCUAUUGCUUCCUCUCUCUCUUUCGAAUCAGCAACACACGAAAGUAUGAAUAUACAAUCUGGAAAAGCAUGCAGAGAAACAGAUCUGCGUACCCUCUGUAUUGCAGGAUCAAAUGACAUAAAAAGCCGACGUGAGCGUUCAGGCCAUGUCUUUAUGAACAUCCUAUAGCAACUUCUUGCAGUUGCACGAACCUGUAUUUGAAAUAUGACAUUACAUACAUGAAGUAACACAAAUACGGACAAGUUUCAGGCUUCAAUAUUGAACAGUACUUUUGUGAUGUUAAAUUAAGUCCAGAAACAUGGAUAUUGUUAGUGCUACCUCACUCAUUGCAUCAGCCACACAGCACUUUAUCAGAUCUUCAUAUAUAUCAGCUGAGCGUUGUACUUCUGGAGCAUCUGCCCAAUAUUCCAAGAUUAGUAGUGCAUAUUCACAACACCUGCAAUAGGAGGAAAAGUAUGAGCAGCUUUAAAAACCCAUGCAUGUUAAGACAAUGCUAAGUGCACAAGUACCUAGCACGGAGGAUUGCACUGCGGUCAUUCUUUGCUGUGUCCGCUAUAAGAGGAACAAGACGUGAAACCUUGCAAUUCCGCAGGAUCUGCAAGAUAUUAAAUGUCAGAGAAGGAAAUAUGUAUUUAAAGCUAGUACCAUGGUUCAAUACAAGAAGGCAGGAACCUCACAGUUUUUACACAGUUGUCUGAAGAUUCAGCAAUCACAAGCACAGUUAUGACAACAAGCUUAAAAAGUGCCUGAGAAUUUCAUUGAUAUGUUAGUCCCAAUGGUAUUAGGCAAGAGUUUCAAAACACUGAAAGUCUGAAACAGCUUCAAGGAUUACCGGAAUAAAUAUUUCCGCACAUGCUUCGAAGUCACUGAGGAGUUCCUUUGAUAGUACAUUAAGUAGAUGACAUGCCUGGGAAAAAAACGAGUCAGCAAGUUUUUUAUCACUAAGAAGUUUGUGCUUCCACUGCAUAUUUAACCAGAAAACGUUCUGACAAAACUUCAUAACACCUGCAUUUCUUACAAAAUGAAACUUCAGACUGAACUGAUGUUUUAGUAUAGUAGCUAUUAACGACAGAAGUGUAAAAUUCUUUUUGGGAUGUCUUACUGAAACUCUCAAAGGUCAUCCAGUGUAUCAUGCAUGUCCAAGAUAACUAGAUGACAGAAUGGACAUGCAUGAAACCCCCUAAUGUCAACAAGACAAUAACUAAGCAAACCUGGAAGUUCCAAUGCAGCACGUCCAUGUAUAAUAUUAAGCAUAAGCUGGGAGGUACCUUGGUUCAAACUACAAUAAGGUAGGACACUAGCAUUAACUCAUCUCAGUCCUGGGUAGAUGAUUCUAAACCUAAUUGGAACUGAAAUCUUGGUGAAUUUGUCUCAUGGUCUAUGGAACACUGUCACUUACCCUUACUUAUGUUGUAUUAGUGCUUGGUUGACUAUGGAAAUUGGAACAUUCAGUCCUAAUUGUGUUGUAGUAGUUGUGCUUCACUCUUAUCAUUAUCAACUAUUUUUAUUAAUAAAUUGUACCACGGGUCCACAAACUUGGGAGGUGGCAGCAAGUGGGUACAAGAAUUAGACAAAAAUAACUAAUUGAUGUCACCAUUGCAUGACUCAGCCACAAUGUAGCUGUUCAGUUUCUUUUUUUCCCCUUUUUUUGCAACACUCACCUCUCAUCGACUCACAUGAGCACAUCCAGCCCCCCUUCCACAUGCCUUUACAGUUUGCGUCGAAACAACCCUACGCCUUCAACACACCUGGUAUCUGAUCACAUUUAUCCCUUGAUCUACCACGGGGCUGCAACCAAGCACUAAGAUGGCAGCGAACAGGAUCAGCAGCACAGUGGAGCAGGGACAGGAAGGUGUUGCUCUCCACAAGGAUGCCACCUAUAUUUUAGGUGGCGGCCAAGGUUGCACGAUAAUAAGGUGAAUCUUCUACACCGAUUUGUCAUGUUCUUGUACUCAGUUGCACCCACCUCUAAAAUUCAUACAAGCUCCUAUUUAUUUUUCGAGUGGAUUUUAUGCUUGCAUGGGUGAGAGCUCAUACUAUGUCACCCAAUGUGCCUUUGGAUUUGUGCAGUCACUCCACAUUUCACUUGGGUGAGAGAAUUUGCACAGAUCUCAAGGCACAUUGUAUCGGUGAGGUAGUAUGAGCACUCACUCAUAACAGCAUAAAUGCUUUGCUGCAGAUUUUGAGGAAAUAGGUCUUUGUGUUGCAACUUGCAAGGAAUUAGCAUUUACAAUUUAGUGGUCAAUAAAGAUCAACAGGCAAGGAAAUAACACCUGCUUUACAAUGCUAGACCGUCGAUCACAAAGCUGGGAGGACAAUGGAUGAACUAGCUGCUUCAAGAGCAUGAAAAAUGAUGGAUAAUCAAUUGCACCUGAUAAAAGAAGUUUCAAGUAAAAUAUGCAAAAUUGUGUUAGCAAGAAAGGACUUAGUAAUAAUGAAAAUGUAUCAUUAUGUUUGAGGAGUCAACACUAUGAAACAAUAUAGUGUAAUAUUAUGCUAAUAAAGGGAAACAACUUCUUUUUACUGUCCCUAUAUUAAUAUUCACAGUUAGCUUGUCCCAUUCGAAUGAAAUUAUAUAUAGCCUAUAUUCUUAACAGUUGGCAUCUCCAGGAUAUGAACUACUGAUAUUGCAUUCUAAAUUUCCAAUUCAUGGGCAGUCAAUGGGUCAUCAUUCAUUAUGGAACAAUGCCAUAGGGCAGUUCUGGUGAAACAUAGUGCCACAUUAAGUUGUUGAAAUUGCUUAGGUGUGAGCUUUUACAACUGUGUCAUCUAGGUCCUUUAACUUGUCAAGCUCUGACACUUAUGCCUGGGAAAUUUUUAACUAAGGCACUAACUAGGGGAUGGGUGCUCUAUUUUAUUGUUUUCCUUAGUGUUUUAAAAGGAUUAUCUACCUCUGGAUUGUCCCUCGGUUCAUCUUUUACAUAUUAUUGCAAGAGCUUCAAGCCCGGCUGCCCAGGGCAAGUAUAUUUUCUGAAGAAAUCAAUUCAACAACGAAACAAAAAUGCAGAUACAAAAAUAGGAGGUGGGAGACAAAUAUCAACCUCCAUAUACCAAGGCUUCAAUCCUUUGCAUUGCGGCAAUACGUAUAGACCAAUCCUUUUCUGGGUUAAGGGCAGCUGCAAUCUUUUCUACCUCUCUGACUAACUCUUUCUCUGAAUGAACUCUUAUGGGUUCCACUGGCCUUUCAGUAAUAUCUGUAUCAGCUGUAAAUUGACACAAAAUUCAGCAAGACAUAGAUAUGAUGAAUGUGCUUCGACUGAGACAAAACUUCAGAAAUAGUAAGUUAUUAUAAAUCCAGUUUCAUCACAACAGCAACUUCUGGCUACUGAAACUUUAUUUGCUAAAUUAUUUUGGAGACAAAAGUUCAUACCAAAUAGUGGAACAGGAAGCCUCUACCAUAUAUACCAAGCAAAGAAACGAUGCCACUGUUUCUAAUGGGGGCAUAAAUAUGAUAGUACAUACUGCUAAAAGGGACAGCUGCAUUUAAACACAUCGAAUGAAUGACCUAUCAAAUUUCAAUUGGCACAACACGGAACACGCCAAUAAUUAACACGUAGAAUAUUUCAAGCCUAAUAGUUUUGGGAAGCAACAUGUGAUGUCCGCUAUAAGUAUUUCACUGGAUCCACAUGUGGCAGAAUUCUGAAGUCAUGAACAACCUACAAUGCAUUUUAAUGAUCAUUUUAUGUACAUGACAUGACUACAAAAAGAAUGUCAUGUGGAACAGAGCACGCAAAGACCGGUAAUAUGUCUCAUUGGAUCGGCAGUAAUAGAUUGGAUUGGCAAUUUCUGUCUACUAUAAUAACUCUUCUAGGCAAGUAAACUAAACAUUAUUAAAAGGGCACGCCUAUUAAAAGCAACAAAUAUUUUUGUUCUUGAAUACCAACAAUGUAAAAGAAAUGGAAUGGUAGCGUAGAAUCUCAGAUCAAGGAACAUUAAAAUAAAAGACUACAGACUGCAAUGAGAGACUAAAAUAUUGGCAACAUCAUGGUAAUGCUCUAGCAAUAAUCAUCUAGGACUCUAAAGAAACCCCUACAGAUACAUGCGAAAAGUGCAAAUAAUUUUUCGUUGUUCUUAGCCAUUACUUAAAAUCGUGGUAUACACCUUUGGUCACAUCAAAAAUAAUAUUCAAAUAGAAUGGAUCUUCCAGUAACUCAAAAGGUAAAACUUGCCUCCAAAUAAUGUGCUUUCCCUUGAUGCACUUUUUUUCCUUGGACUGCCUCUUUUGGGAUGAGCACUAACAGACCUUUCCAUGGCCUUAUAUUGCAUUCUAGCACCAUCAGAUGAGGGAACCUUUGGUUCUAUUUUGUCCAAUCUUGAAUUUAUUUCCUUUAGCUGAAAACAUCAGAUGAGGAAAGGAAUGAUAAUCAUGAUGUCAGCAUGAGUGCACGACUAACGUUAGUAAAGGACUAGAUGCGUUGGUGGAUUACCAUAUAAGAAGGCAGAUUAUGGCGCUGCAGCUCUUCAUGGAACUGAGAUCCCAUAUUUUUGUACAUCUCCUGUAGUGAACAUAGAUUAUGCAAAUUAUUAUUAGUAUGUGCAGGAUAUCAGUCACUCACAUGCAGAGUAGUCAACAUGUGUUAUACUAUGGCAUAAGCCCAAAGAAGAAAAGACUACCAUAUUCGGUCUGCAUUUGACUCCAAGAUCCCCCUUAUCCAUCAUCGAUUUCAUGUAUUCACUUUUCAUUAUUAUCCUAUCUACCCUAUACAUAGACCAAUGAAGACUAUUCCUAUACCCCCUUUGCUCAGUCCUAAAACUAGAGAAAGGCAGAACAGAAGAAAAAAUUUGUGCGUCCGGCAUCUCCCUUGCUUCAACUAGUUCAAUGAAUUAUAUGGUUCUAAACUUAUGAUGCAGAAUGGGUGAAAUGGAAUGAAGCCAGAAGAGAACACACAAAUGUACAAUGUAUGUUUUCUUUAAGUGAAUUGGUUUGGUACAAGAAGAAAGCCACUGUACUAUACAACCCAGUUAGCAUCAUAAGGAUGCUAGACUAAACGAGAACUUAGGCAUGAGAGAAAACCAAAACAUGAACAAACAGCCAUAGAGGGAGUGUGAGUUGAAGAAAUUUUUGCAUAAGAAACCGAAAAGUAUCAAAUUGCAGACGUUAGUAAUAAACCACCUGAAUACAUGAGAUUGCAGCAUCUCUAACACUUUGGUUUGAAUCAUUCAGCAACUGCAGGACCUGUGAAAUUGAAACAAGACUGGCAGUUAGCAUUGACAAUUAUGAACGAAAAUAAAAGGAAGAAGCAGAUAUUCCAUGCUCAGUAAGGAGAAAAACAUCCUGACAUACAGGUGAAAGAAACACUCGCUGCAGAAGGAGCUCUGUAGAAGCAAAAAGCCCAACUGCCGUUGCAAGAGUGCGCACAAAUUCUUCUCGCACCCUCCAGCUCUUAUGACUCCAAGCAUAACUUCCAGCUCUUUCAACAAUGAUUGUUGGAGAAGAAACCUGAGAUCGUAGAGAUAGAUCAGUUUAAUAUGACCCAGAAGAUAAGCAUAGGGUAAAAAAAUAUCGAUAUUAAGAUAGGAUAAUCAACAUGAUAAAUUAGUGAUUACAGUGCAACUCAAUUGAUAAUUUUACAUGCAAACAAGAGUAUGCGCCAUAGGGAAAUAUAUGAUAUAUCAAAGCUCACAAGGCAAUACCAAGGAGAAGUUUUUGUUCAAAGCACAGAUGAAAAUAUUUUAUAAUGAUGUAAUGAUAAGGAACAACUUGUUUCAACUUUUCAACAACAGAGGAAAGAAAAAAUUUCGCAAGUUCUGCAUCAACACAUCACCAAAGCGUUUAAAGAUUAAAAAAAACACAUCACUGCAGUCUGCAAUUUCACAUGUAUCUUUAUCUUUGCUCUUAAACUAUCAGGAAAUUACUGAAAUUAUCAUCCAGUCCAUGUAGCAUAUAUAUGUAUCACGAUCUUUUGAUUAGUGAUUCGCUUGAUGUAUACUUUGAGAUGAUUUUUAAAAUUUUGCAGAUUUAGGGAAUGAUGAUUAAACAACUCAUGCAAUAAGGAAAACAAUUAUGUAGCACUGCAUGAGCAAAAGAAGAAGCCACGUACAAAAAAAGGAACCAAUAGUUUUAUUUGCUUCCUCUGUGUGGCUAAAGUCCGACAUUUGCAUGUAAUUUCUUGAAUUAAAUCACCAAAAUCAAUAUGACGGGCUUCAAAUUUUUGAACCAGAUCGAGUUGUAUUUGAAGGUGUUGAAUUCUGGAGCGAGAACCGGCAUAAUUUGACAACAUCCACCUAACCAAAUAGAAUGUAAUGCUCAAUGGUUGUGUUGACUAAUUAUAUGGUAAAGUUGCACUUUUUUAUUUAAUUGCUUUAGUAGUAGUUUAUGCACCUCAGACAUGUAUUUUGCAAGCAGUGUGAAAAAGGGUGAUCUAAAUUUCUUUGAAGACUGCAAACUCUAGCUUGCUAUAGAAGUGUGGUACUGCGGUUGAGCAUUUGAAAAGUUGGCUGAUAUUUUGUUGUAGGUCCAUCAAUGCUGCUAGAUCAUACCAGCAACCAAAAGAGUUAGAGUUAAAAGCGUAAGAACUGCUUCCUCAUAGCUCAAAUCGGGUAUUGCAUUGGAGUCUAAAACAGGAAUUUCUAAUUUAAAGUCAAUGAAUAGCUAAUUCCGCUCUAAAACUCACAUUUGCAACUGCAUCCAAUCCAAACACUAACUCUUCACUUCACAGAUUCUGCUCUAGCUCAAAAUGGCUGACGCCACCAACUCCCGAAGUUCCACCCUCUCUCACCCAGUUCAACACAUACAUACAAAGUGUGCAAUCUCAAUACACUGAUUAUCAGAUCUUUGCUCGAGCUAUAUCUCAUCGAACACAUACCACCACCAGAACCCAAUUCGAAGAGCACGAACGAUUCCAAAAUACGACAGUGAAGAUGGUGACGGCUGACCUCCAUGAGGGUGACCAGGAGCUGUCGGGAGGCAUCACGAACAGGCUGCUUGCCAUCGCCGAGGCGCUCGACGGCCGCAGGGACGAGAGCAUUCAGGUGGAUCUUAAAGUGGUCGCCGGCGAGCACCGCGGCGGCGGAGAGCGCGUUCAGCCCUCCCUGCGCGACACGGAAGUUGGCAUCCUUGGUCAGAUCCAUGCAGGUGUCAACCAGUGACGUCACCUCCACCGCCGUCAGUCCACGCCUCGCCGCCGCCUCCAGCGCUUCGUGUAGCCGCUCCACUCCGGCAAGACGCUCCUUCGUGUCCUUGGAGCGCGCCGCCUCCAGCGCCGCCUCCAUUUCUGCCAGCACCAAUGCUUACUCGGACGAAGACCACGGCGACGACGACGAGUAGUGGUAGUUGGGUUUAGGGUUCCCGACGAAUUCGGGGAAAUGGCAGGGGAGACAACGGUGGGGAGGGGAGUGGUCGGAUCUGAGAAAGGAAGGGAAGAGUGUGAGUGUGCCAGAGAGUUGUUCGGGUAUUUUUGUGUGCAUAUAGGUCCCUAUUAUUUUUGUGAUGUUACGCAUAGCACCCUGCUGUGCGCGCAUCACAAAAAUAAUUGCACGUAUUCUGCACUUUGUACAACGACUAGUUUGUCGCACAUUUUACUUAUUUAUUGAACUGUGAGUUGCGUACAAGUGUACAACUGUGCAAGUCAAGAAAGAUGAACGGGAAAAUGCAAAUUUAUGCCUCUCGUAUUGUCUGGACGUGGCAUUGUCUCUUAGUCCUUCUUGUUAAUUUUUAGUCUACAUGGCACGUACAAGUUACUCUCUGCGUUACAUAAAAAUUUGCGAGACGAUUAUGAGAAUCACCUUUUAUGUUGCUAUAUGUACGAUUUGUUAUGUAUGAACUUGUUACGAUGCCUCACAAACAAGCAGCGCCACUGCCUGGCCUGGGGUUUUUUAGAUAAAUCUGGUAAAUUAUUAGGAAUUGUGACAACUUCGUAUGGAAAAAUUGUACAUAAAGCAUUUUUGUUAGUUCGGUGUGGUCUAACAUCACCUUCGUCCAAGUUACGAAAGUAAAAUGGGAAAAUGCAGCUUAGAAUGACUACGGCUGCACCAUUGGGAAGACAUGAUGCCUAAAACCGUCAAUGCCAAAUAGAUAAGGAUUGAAAUGAUAUGAAGAAACAUCCCAUUUGAUCUGGGCCUAUGUGCCCGGACCUGUGCGGUGGCGGUCGGGAACUAGUCUCUACGGGUUUGGAGCUCUUCGGUGCAGGGCCUUGUGAUGCGAGGCUCUAGGUGUGUCGCCGGCCUCUUGCGCAGUGUUGCACCGGCAGGUUCGGGCGUGGGUGGUGGCUCUCCUCCGAUGAUGACGACUACUGAUUGUGCAGUGCGGGUUGUACUUGCGGCAGUCUGGUGGUGGUGCUCGCGGUGCUUCGGGCGAAAGCUUUGCACGGUCUCUGUCUGUGCCGACGGCGGCGACGCUUUCAAGCGUCGCUCUCUUCCUUGGUGGCGUCGUCAUGAAGCCCUGGCAUUCUUGUACCCCUUGGAGACAUCACUCCGGGCGAAAGACCAAAUCCAACGGCGUUGGUUUGCUCGACGAAGGCAUUUUUAGCGUUGUUUACCUCCUGGAAGGCGUCGAGUUUGGGGUUUUAUCUUUUUGCCGGCUAGACUGGUCUGACCGUGCUCCGACCUACUCGUGUUUGCUAGGUUUUGUGGCAUGUGUUGGUUUUCGUUCGGUUUCUCCUUAAUUAAUCGUGCUCUGUAUGGUUUUUUGGUCCGGUUUUCCUCAUAAGCUGGAUCACCUUUCCCUUAGUUGGAUUCUUUCGGUCACGUCUUUGACAAUGAAUAACCCCCGAUGGUUAUUUCGUUAAAAAAAAGAAAAGAAAUUUUCUUUAAAUAAAAAACUAGUUGAAAUAGAUUAGCGUUUGGCCCAGUAGGUUAAAAUAAUAACAUCAUACAUCUGUCGUGAAUAUUUUUCCCUAUAAUACAACCUUUUAUAGAUCUGUUUCAUAAUAUAUAUUUUUGACGAUCAGUUUAAUAAAUAUUGACUACACACUAAAUGUCAAAGACGUUUGCUUUCAGUUUCUCUCCGCAAAACGCAAAAAGACCCGAUAAAACACUAGCAAAAAUAAUUUGACGGAAAAACACCAGCAAAAUAAAUCUCGUUAAUACUAGUAAUGGACUACGAUGUUGUUUUUGAGCCGGCCUCACGAAUGCUCAGUCAUUUCGGUGUGGUUGUCAGUGAAGCAGGGCUCGAUGAAUGUCAAGGAAACUCCAGCUUGCAUGAUUGUAUCUAUGUCCCCAGCAAAGCUGAAGUACCCCUUUUACCUGCAUGGUUUCCGUCCAGUCGUCCUUGCUAAUGGCUGCAGAGGAGGUUCUACGACCAAACGAACGCCCUGCUGGGCUGAUGAUGCUUGCGAUUUGUCAAAAGCACGAGCCUUUAUUUGGGAGACGAAAGAGGAUAAAGGCACACGGGAGAGGAUUAGUUGAGUUGUAACGUCAUCAUAGUAGGUGCAAGUGCACAUUAUGAUUGACACUAUGAUAGUGGUCCUCGAGUACUCAUCGAAAGAGUGGACGCAUAAGAGCUGGAGCGUGCAGGGUACGAGUGGUAUAUGAUACGACCGUGCAGAUGCCGUGUACCCGGAACCCGAUUGGGUUCAAAUCCUUGCACUUGCAUUUCGAAAAAAAAAAAAUCCUUGCACUUGCAGCCUUACUACGGCUACGCGUUGUGAUGAUAAUGUGGUGAUGAUGCUUUACCUAACUAUACUCUGACAUGGUGCUUGCUUUGCGAAUUGGGAUAUUAUUGUAUUAUCGUUGUGCUAAAUUAGCAGGAGCUUUUUGGGAUCUCUCAAUCCAUGCUGGUGAUGCGUACCGCCUACCGGUAUUGAAACGAUUCCCUGUAAGUCUGUACCGGUACCAUCGCAUUGGUGUUCUCUAACGGGAAAAUCUACAGUAGAUGGAAAGGGGCUAUACCGGAAAGAGCGACUAUCGUGUGCAGCGCAGAUUUUGGCAAGGCAAUCGAUCAAAACCUGGUGAACGAGAGUGGCCACAACAGGGUCGCAAAAAAUGGAGAUUGAUUGAGAGCAUAGGUGGCCAACGGGCCGGCCCAGGCCCAGCCUGGCCCAUGGAUUAACGGGCUGGGUACGGCCCACAGACGCUUGCCCGUUUAUAAAUGGGGCGUGCCGGCCUGCUCCCGGGAAUUUCAGGCCCAGGCAUAGUUCAGUUGUUUUGUACUUUUUUUCGGUUAUAUGAACCGGCACACCGAUUUUCUUGACAAACAGCUGCAACAAGCCAUUUAUUGCCAACAGAGAGUCGACAGAGUUGACUCAAAGAAUACACGUUUGUUUUUUUUACAUCGCAUAUUGUUGAUGCGAGUAUCUUGUUUUGGGUUACGGUACAUGUUGUUCAUGCAUGUCAUGACUGCAACACACUUAAGACUGGAAAGAGACGUUAGGCUUACAGUCCUCCGAAAAUAAUUCGGUGCAAGAGGCCCGUUCAGUACUUGCGAUGUCACCAAACUGAAGGUGUUCAUUCUGUCAUUACGUGGGAGCGGGAUACAAAAUGUGGAUGCUUGUGUACGUACUAUACUACUCGCUUGUGUACGUACUAUACUACUCCAGUUAACUUUGUAGCUUUAAUUCCUACGCAUCCACGUAAUUCCUCUUGCCAUCCCUGUAGGGUUAUCAAGGACAUUGAUAAGUUCUGACAAUGUCCAGAACAUUCAAGGUCAGCGGGCAAAUUUUGUGAAGCACCACAGACCUUGGUGAUCUCGGAGUGCUUAAUCUCCCACUUUCCAUGAGAGGCUUACGCUUAGGUUGCCUUGGCUGCAUUGACGAACCUGACAAAAGUGUGGCUAGGAGCUAACAAAAGUGUGACGAGAUUUAGACUUUUUCUAUGCAUUCACGUCCAUUACUAGUGCCGAUGAGUUGAAAGCGCCUUCCAGGGAUUCACCUUGGCUGCAGGGAGGUCGGCCAAAGGAUAUUCUCUCUAAUCUAUGAAAUUUCUAGAAAGAAAAGAUGGACGCAAGCUUUGCACCAUGGCGCACGAAUUAGGCAGGUUGACAUGAGAGCAAGCUUAAGUGUGAUGCACAUGCAUCCAGGAAUUUGUGGGGUAUCCAGUUGAGUCGGAUCCAUUUGGAUGUGGUGUCCCUGACACAAUUAUUUAGAAUAUCGUCUCAUCCGAAAAUUAUUCUUAUUUGAUGGCUUACCAUGCCCACUUCGCUAGAGCUACGAGAUCUAAAAUAUGUCGUGUGGUGUGGUCUCCGCCAAAAUGCAAUUUUUUUAAAUAAAGUCUGGACGACUGACCGUUUAGAGCGGCGUGGAUGGCCAAGUUGUGGCCUUUUGCCCGCUUUGUGAGCAAGUCCAAAGUCGACGAAUCAACUUCUUAUAAAGUGCAGAUUUUCCAUCCGACUGUAAGCCAUGGUGUUAAAUUGUCUCGGUCUCACCUUCAUCGUUCCCUCGAAGUGGGCUAAGGAGACCUUGGUCAAAAGUUGAUGGACUAAAAUGAGCAGCCAAUCAAAAGGUUUGGCUUCCAUAACAAUGUUUGUGUCAUGAGAGAUUUGGAAUGAGAAGAAUGUCCGCACUUUCGUGGACACUCGACAUUGUCCUCGAUUAUACUACUCCCUCCGAUACAAAAUACUUGUCGCGGCUUGGUCUAGAGACGCAUGUAUCUACACACUGAAAAGUUCUAGACAAAACUUGAUGCUGCAAACUAGGUGAUCGCAGACACAAACCGGUUGAGUUCUUUGAUGUCGUGAGAUUAAGUUUCUUUUUGGCGCGUCGCUUGCCGUGUUUUUCUUUGGUUUUGAUCGUUUAUGUAGUCGGUUGUACUCCUACUCUUAUUCUCUUGUCUCCAUUUUGAAAAAUAAUAACAAUCCUAGUGCAUAAAUUCGGAAAAUUUACCCCCACCCCCACACCCAAACGGCAAGCAAGACAGCCGAGAAGCAAAACAGGUUUCCCCCCACCGUGCGAGUGCUAAAUACCGGUGCUGAUCGUGCAAACUUCUGUUCUUUCCUGAACAUAAACGCUCUGCUUUGGUUGUUGGGCACAUGAUCCAAGGCGGGCGGAGGUACCUGUCUGUGCUGCUAUCCAUCAACCAACAGCCUCUCUUCUGCGCAUUUGCAAGGGACAAGGGUGGCCUUGCUAUAUGGUCUGCACCUUCAGCUUGGUUCAGUUCAAUGCAGGUUGCUGGCCGAGCCAGGCCGGCCGGGUAUAAAGCACACGCUCUCACCGUCUCUCCCUCUAAUGUCCAUCUCCCAGUAACUGCUUGCCUACGUAGCCACUUUAGCACCUACAAGUCGCUCUCUUAAUAAGCAUCUCUUAGUGCUGAUGGACGCGGCUCUCGUUCCUCUCCUCGUCUCUCUCGUCCUGACCGUGGCGGCUGCCCCGGCGGCAUCCGCGGCGCCGCGGGUCUUCUUCGUCUUUGGCGACUCCCUCGUCGACAAUGGCAACAACAACUACCUCCUCACCACGGCGCGCGCCGACGCGCCUCCCUACGGCAUCGACUUCCCGUCGCACCGCGCCACGGGCUGCUUCUCCAACGGGCUCAACAUCCCUGACAUCAUCAGUAAUGCAUGCAUUGCCUUCAACGGGUUCAGUAUGCCACAUUGCCACGUUCAUAUUUCUGAGUUCUGACGCUGGCCGUCAUCAAAAUUGCUUGAUCAGGUGAGCACCUCGGGGCGGAGCCUGCAUUGCCGUACCUGAGCCCCAGGCUCCGGGGCGCGAAGCUGCUUGUGGGCGCCAACUUCGCGUCGGCCGGCGUCGGGAUCCUCGACGACACGGGAGUGCAGUUUGUACGAGAAUGCCGCCUCAGCACGCUCGAUUUAUUAGAGAUCAUCUUGCUUUAUAUCCAAACUUUGACGAUAAAUCUAAUUUGCGAUCGACCUGUGCGCAUGAUCGAUCGGGCAGGUGAACAUAAUCAGGAUAGGCGACCAGCUGCGUUACUUCGGGGAGUACCAGCGCAAGCUAAGGGCUCUCGUGGGCGAGGAGCGAGCGGCGAGGCUCGUGAAAGGGGCUCUCGUGCUCAUCACGCUGGGAGGCGACGACUUCGUGAACAAUUACUACCUGGUGCCCAUGUCCUUUCGAUCUCGCCAGUACUCGCUGCCGGAAUACGUCCGGUUCAUCGCCUCCGAGUACCGCAAAAUCUUCGCGGUAAGUGUCUUUGCUUACUGAUUUACAGCUGAAGUUUUUCUUUUACUACGUAGUAUUCCCCCUGUCUCUGUGUGUGUGUAGGAUUCGAUAAGAAUUAGAGCGUACAUUCAGGCGAUAGCUCCUCGAUGUAAAACUGCAAACUGACAAGGCCACCAUCAGUAUCUAGAAGGAGACAGCGAUGGUCCUUUGGUUCGUGCACAGUACAAUGGAAAGUGCAGACUUGUUGCUCUAGAUCUAGAUGUAACCUGACAUGACCAAUUUGUGCAAAAAGAAGGUAAAUCUCUGCAUAAACGGACGACUUCACUGCAGCCACUAGGCCGAUUGCAGUCCGAAAUCCAGCAACUGGUCAUGAAUUUAGAUAUUCGAGCACAUACAAAAUUAGACCAACUGGCAGCACUUCAUGACUCACCAGUACGCGGCCACCACCGCAAAACCAGUCAAAUCAACUUGCAGCAUAGUCAUAAAAACCGUGUCUCGUCUCCACGCACCUUUUGCCUCAAGCUGUAAAGUUUAAGCAUAAAUGGAGCCAGCUAGGUGUAACUGUAACGGUACACCGUGCAGGGUAAAAGACAAGCGUACCACACACAUGGCGACCGAUGAUGGUAGCUGCAGAAUUCACUCCGGCCUGAGUACUCCUGGCACGCUGCAGCAGCAUGCAUGCAUGUGCACUUGUGCAGCGGCAACAACUUGAACGAAUCCAUUUUCAUCUCACUCGCGCCGUGAUGCAUGCAGAGGCUGUACAAGCUGGGGGCCCGGCGCGUGAUCGUGACGGGGACGGGGCCGCUGGGGUGCGUCCCGGCGGAGCUUGCCCAGCACAGCCGCAACGGGGAGUGGCGCGGCGGAGCUGAACCGCGCCGUGGACCUCUUCAACCCGCAGCUGGUGAGCAUGGUGCGCGCCCUCAACCGCGACAUCGGCGCCGGGGACGUCUUCGUCACCGCCAACACCUACCGCGCCAACUUCGACUACCUCGCCAACCCGCGCAACUACGAUACAUACUCGCGGGUGUUUUGAGCUGAUCAUUACACAAUUUGGUUUGGUACGUGUUUGAUGUUUCAUUUGUGUGCGUGCAGGGUUUACGAACGUGAAGGCGGCGUGCUGCGGGCAAGGGCCGUACAACGGGAUCGGGCUGUGCACGGCGGCGUCCAACGUGUGCGCGGACAGGGAGGCGUUCGCGUUCUGGGACGCGUUCCCCCCGACGGAGCGGGCCAACCGCAUCAUCGUCGGGCAGUUCAUGCAUGGGUCCGCCGACUACAUGCACCCCAUGAACCUCAGCACCAUUCUCGCCAUGGACGGCGACGACCACCAGGACCGGCUUUGAUUAAUUAAUCCGUUAGAGUAGCUAGCUUGGCUGAAUGGCUGAUCGAUCAAGGAGUUUGAACGUUGUAGUUACUGUUCCGUUCGGAGUAUGAUAGCCUCUGUCGAUACUCGAUCGGUCUGCGUCACAGGACAAUUUGUUGAGUUUCGCGGCUUUAGAUCCACACUGAAACAGCGACAAGUAUUUAGGAACAGAGAGAGCAGUAUUAAUACUAGAUUGAUUUAAGUUUUUUUCUUAAAAAUUAAACGAUUGAAAAAUAGCCACACCCAUACUAGUUGGCUGAGUGGAAAGGAAACAGGGAACGGAGGUUAGAGUUUACAUGGUGAUUUUUCAAGGACAAAAGAGGGAAUGAGAAAAAUGGGCUGGGCGAACGAUCUUUUUACCGGCGUUGAAGAUUUAGCACCUUGCCAAACAUAAUUAAAGCACACCGAUUUUGUUGGAAACUACCACCGGGCAUGAAGCUAGCUAGGAUCACAACCUUCUGCCCAGGAGCCAAGGCACUUUAGCAGCAUACCGCGUGCAAACCUGACCACUUCACACACAAUCAGUGGCAAAAAAUACAUAUGGUCAUUCCUGAGAAGGACAUUGUAUUCCAAGUUUUGCACACACUAUCUAUCUGGCAUUCCAAUUAACACAGCGUGCAUUAUGCAUCACUUAUACAAGAGGACCAUAUUUGGACACCCACCCUUGCUGAUUUUGGUCAGGUGUCACCUUCUUGUUUAUGUACAUUAUUAAUCUCAAGGACCAUACAUAUGAGCAUUAACGAAAUGUAUACAUGCAGACGUACGUGCAGCCAAAUGCAUCUACUUGGUCUUCCCAUGGCCUCAUAUGAUGCGACGGACGUACUGCUCUGGCUGGCUGUCGUCCAUGGCGUUCACUUGGACGUGAGGUCGCCAGGUUUAUCUGGUCUGUCGUUUGGAUAAGGUGAUUGCAGGUCCUUGCUUUCUCAACUUGCAUGCAUUUAACUGAAUGAUCGAAACAGGACGGGUGGAUCAAGAUCAAGAAAAGGACGCAAGAAUAUUAACUUGCGAUUUUGUCACUUCCUACACAAAUACAUUUAAAUUUAGUUUAGCAUUGUGCGGAGAGUCAGUAUUGUGGAUAUAAAAUUUGAUUACUUUUAUGAAAGAAACAAGUGGAGUUCCUUGCAAUCCAUUCCUCUUCAGUCAUUCAGAUUUUUGUUAAUUUUACCAGCGCAGUGCAAAUUACCUAACAUUUUUAACUGCUUAGUACUAAAUUCAGACGAGACUAAGACUAGGACUUGACCAAGAGCCUGCUGAUUUUCACAUGCUGUAAAUCAGGCGAGAGGUGAGAACAGACGAUGAUAUUACUUCCUUCCACACGUGCUAUCCAGGACAAGUACUGAAUCGAUGUCGACUUUGUUCAAAUCGUGCAUUUUUGGCUGAUAGAACCUCUAGAGCCACCGUGCCACCCAGAGCGGGGGAUACCGGCCGGCCGAAGAGCUGUCAAUUCAUUCAUUAUUCAUGGUGCUCAACGGUGCUGGUAGCAUGGUCAUAUCCCCUUAGGACGUUGUAUAUAGAAAUGUAAUGGAGAAUCGCACUGUGAUCGAGAUUAACUGAUAGUCUUCUGUAUAAUUGAAGAAUUCAAAGAAACUUAUUUUAAAUCAUCAGCCUCCAGACGAGUGCACGAAUUGAAAACUGUCCCAACAACCGAACAUUGACCAGCUAUUUCCUGAGAAAGGGUACCUGAUCAGACAUUCGCCGGCGGGAUCAUGCCAAAGACUCCUAACUACCCAAAGAAGAUGGACCUUUUACCAGACAAUCGGUGAGUUGGUAUAAGUUAUUCACUUAAAAAAGGCAUGCGAGGCAAAAUGAUAAGAUGGCUGGAACUAAGAAAACAAAGAGCGAGACCAAAGACCAAGCAGAUCCGCGGAGUCACCAACCCUCAAUGCCAAGCACCAACCACAGCCCGCGCGACCGAGGCACCGAGCAAUACCUAUCACGAAGUUUCCACGCCGCUGGCCAACUAACCUCAGAAAAUAAUACCCAUUUGCACACGCAACACUCGUGCUGCCUGGCCUUGGUGGUCUGGUCACCUCACCACACCUCGUCGUCUUGCACCUUCCCCUCCCAAACAGCAAGCGCGGUCCCUAUUUAAACCCAGCCUCCCCAUCCAUUCUCCCCAAGAAGAGCUGCAACAUCUAAGUCAUACUAGCUCUUCAAUCUGCACAACGGCACAAGCCUCUGUAGUGCAGAGAACCAAUACAUUCCAUACUCGCCACAUUCUUCAGCAUAGUGCUUCAGUUAAUUGCUCUCUCUGCAGCUGCGUGCAAUGGAGUGCGAGAACGGCCAAUUUGCUGCCAAUGGCACUGGUCUCUGCAUGGCGACGCCAAGCGCUGACCCACUUAACUGGGGAAAGGCGGCGGAGGAGCUGACGGGAAGCCACUUGGAUGAGGUGAAGAGGAUGGUGGCGGAGUACCGCAAACCUGUGGUGACGAUCGAGGGCGCCACCUUGAGCAUCGCCAAGGUUGCGGCGGUGGCCGCAGCUGGCGAGGCGAAGGUGGAGCUCGAUGAGUCAGCUCGUGAGCGCAUCAAGGCCAGCAGCGACUGGGUCAUGAAUAGCAUGAUGAAUGGCACCGACAGCUACGGUGUCACCACCGGUUUCGGUGCCACAUCCCACCGGAGAACCAAAGAGGGUGGCGCUCUCCAAAGAGAGCUCAUCAGAUUCCUCAACGCCGGUGCGUUUGGCACUGGCUCCGAUGGCCAUGUUCUGCCAGCUGGGGCAACACGUGCUGCAAUGCUUGUCCGCAUCAAUACUCUCCUUCAAGGAUACUCUGGCAUCCGGUUCGAGAUCCUUGAGGCCAUUGCCAAGUUGCUCAAUGCCAAUGUCACACCGUGCCUGCCACUCCGGGGCACAAUCACCGCAUCGGGUGACCUGGUCCCGCUUUCUUAUAUUGCUGGUCUCGUCACCGGUCGGGAGAACUCCGUGGCAGUUACACCAGACGGCAGGAAGGUGAAUGCCGCUGAGGCGUUUAAGCUAGCUGGCAUCCAUGGCGGCUUCUUCGAGCUGCAGCCCAAAGAAGGUCUUGCCAUGGUGAAUGGCACAGCUGUGGGCUCUGGUCUUGCAUCGACUGUGCUCUUUGAGGCAAACAUUCUUGCUGUUCUUGCCGAGGUGAUUUCUGCAGUGUUCUGCGAGGUUAUGAAUGGCAAGCCGGAGUUCACCGACCAUCUGACCCACAAGCUCAAGCACCAUCCCGGACAAAUAGAGGCUGCUGCUAUCAUGGAGCACAUCUUGGAGGGAAGCUCCUACAUGAAGCUUGCGAAGAAGCUUGGUGAUCUCGACCCACUGAUGAAGCCAAAGCAAGAUCGGUAUGCACUCCGCACUUCCCCUCAGUGGCUCGGCCCGCAAAUCGAGGUUAUUCGUGCUGCGACCAAGUCAAUUGAGCGUGAGAUCAACUCCGUCAAUGACAACCCACUCAUUGACGUCUCCCGCGGCAAGGCGAUUCAUGGUGGAAACUUCCAAGGUACACCCAUUGGUGUGUCCAUGGACAACACCCGCCUCGCUCUUGCUGCCAUCGGCAAGCUCAUGUUCGCUCAGUUCUCGGAGCUUGUGAAUGACUUCUACAACAACGGUCUACCAUCCAACUUGUCUGGCAGUCGCAACCCAAGCUUGGACUAUGGCUUCAAGGGCGCCGAGAUUGCUAUGGCCUCUUACUGCUCUGAGCUGCAGUUUUUGGGUAACCCGGUGACCAACCAUGUCCAGAGCGCCGAGCAGCACAACCAGGACGUGAACUCUCUUGGUCUCAUCUCCUCAAGGAAGACCGCCGAGGCUGUAGAAAUCCUCAAGCUUAUGUCCUCAACAUUCUUGGUUGCCCUCUGCCAGGCCAUUGAUCUCCGUCAUAUCGAGGAGAAUGUCAAGAUUGCCGUCAAGAGCUGUGUGAUGACAGUGGCCAAGAAGACUUUGAGCACCAAUUCCACCGGUGGUCUUCACGUUGCUCGCUUCUGCGAGAAAGACCUGCUCCAAGAGAUUGAGCGUGAGGCGGUGUUCGCGUAUGCCGAUGAUCCCUGCAGCGCCAACUAUCCACUCAUGAAGAAGCUACGUAGUGUGCUCGUGGAGCGCGCCCUAUCCAACGGCAUGGCUGAAUUCAAUGCAGAGACCUCUGUGUUCGCCAAGGUUGCUCAGUUUGAGGAGGAGCUGCGCACAGUGCUGCCUAAGGCGGUUGAGGCCGCACGUGCCGCUGUGGAGAGUGGCACGGCUGCAACACCCAACAGAAUCAAGGAGUGUCGCUCAUACCCUCUGUACCGGUUUGUUCGUGAGGAGCUUGGAACUGCAUACCUGACUGGCGAGAAGACACGAUCACCCGGAGAGGAGCUGAACAAGGUGCUUGUGGCCAUCAACCAAGGAAAGCACAUCGAUCCUCUGCUCGAGUGCCUCAAGGAGUGGAACGGCGAACCAUUGCCCAUCUGCUAAACUGGGAAUAGAAGGAGUGCUUCUGGGUGCUGAUUAUUUUUCACGUUCUUAUGCCAAUCGUUCUUUGUUGUAAACCUGUCAUGAGCACAGCAGCAAGGCAGGUGCCUAACUGUAAGUUCCAGAACUGGGAUAAAUUAUACUCUUGCUUUGGCAUUCUCGUUGUUUAAAAGCUUUCAGUGUUCAGACCGUCUAGCCGUCCAGGGUCCAGGCACACUGCACUUGGCUAUUUGGGUUGCACAGAUUCCACUAAACCGUACACUAGUCAUCAACCUAUACACGCCUGCAAGGGCUAGCUAUUUUGCAAAACAUAUAAAAUAGUUAAGGUAAUUCAAGAACAUGUGUUUUUUGAGCAAAGUCGGGAGGGGAGGCCCCUACCUAAUUUUUCCUAGAAGUGAACCAAAUCGGCUCAUUCAGUAACAUGUGUUGAAUGCUGCAUAUUCAAUUACGUUGGAAUUAGGAUUAGAGGAAAAACUUGAGCAUCUUUCGAAACAUUAUUUCUAAAAGCAUGUGAAAGUCCUCCUAAGUUGACUACGAACAUGACAUACCAAAGCUUAACAAAAAUAAAGUGGCCCAUAAUGGGCCAGCCCUUCCAUCAUAAAUUAGUGAAAGAUUAUAAUCUAAAACAACCAAGAAGCCUGACAAGAGGUAUCUCAGUAUAUAUGAGACUGAAAACUAUAACUUAGCCCAUUCACAUAGCAGUAUGUAGGCCCUACAAUAUCUAAAACUAAGCAUCUAAACGGUCAAAUUAAUCUGUAGGUUUUAUGACAUGUCGGCUCAAAGCCUCCAACACUUCUAGGUAACAAAGAUUUUACAGUUUCACAGAAGACAAGAAGAUGCAUAACUCAUGCAGCUAAAAGAACAAAGGCACAUCAAUGUUUUCUUACGGACUGAAAGGCAACUACUCUUAUCAUGGAUACACGAUAUACCUCAAUUUUAUAUGCAUAAUGAAGGCGCCAUCUUUGUGGAUAGUUCAUUCUGUACUUCCAUUCCUCCUUUGAACAUCUCCUAAUACUCCUGCAAAAUUAAAAAAAAUUAAGCACCCACGAUCACAAGUAAAGCUCCCAGCAAGUUCAACAAAAUGCCAGCAAAGUUCAUUUCUAUUUACUGGAAGUAAAUGUUCUUCUUGCUCUCAAAACCAGCAAUGGGCAAUAAAGUGUACUAGGAGGAUUUGCAAAUGUUUUCUUUUCAGUUUCAAAGAAUCACGUAGGCUGACAGCAUAGCUUAAUUUUUGAAUCAUGGUUGUUAAGACAAAAAGAUGAGGCGAAAGACAAAGAGAAGAAAACAUAAGCUUGUUCUAACAUGCUGACUGGAUAAAGACUAUAAUGAAAUAACAGAAAAAAGCGAUGUUUGACAUCAGGUGCUCUCAUGCUUUGACCUUCAGCAGCUCUGCCCGCAACCAGGGGACUCUUUCCGUUCCUGGUUUGCGGAGGCGGCGGAGCACCAGCUCUUCCAAGGUCAAAUGCACCCGCUCCCUUAUCAUCCUGACCUUGUGGCACUUGUGGAAACUCCGCGAUGACUGUGUUUUCAAUGCCACCUCUCUCGACAUCUCAUCACUUGUUGAACUGAGAUCUUCACGGAGAUCCGGCUUUGGAUGGUCGCUGGUGCGAAGGACCUUCGUAGGCUGCCGCAUCAUUGCAGGCCUCCUGACUACUUGCUAAUUAGCUAGCGUACAGUUGUCUCUUUUCUUGUUUUCAGCCUUCUUGUUUUGCCUUGCUUUUGCACACAUAGUAAGAAUUUGGAAUAUCUGCUUUGUAAUGAAAAUGACACACACUUGGUGCGGUUCGAGAAAAAGAAAACAGAAAAAACAUGAUGGACACUUCAUGAUGACAGGAUGUCACUAUGAAACGCUAAAUUUGGAAUAUCCAGUCAUUUUGCACACAUAGUAAGAAUUUUCCUUGCAUGUCAAAUGCCAGGAAAACCAGCAUUUACCCUUUAUUAGUUUACUAGGAGUACCUAUUGUGAAGUGAAUACUCAAUGGUCCUAAAGAUAUAAUCCCCAUUCUAGUUCUAGUCUAUGAAAUAAACCGGUAUAAAUAACAUCCAACCAAACAUAUAUAACGUAAAAAAGGCUGGAAAGUGCAUCUUUUUCAAAUCAAUUCCACCUUGCACCCCUGGCAAACAGAACAAAAACUCCUUGGGUGGGAAUUUCAUCGAGCACCUAGCAAACAAAUCAGAGUAAAACCUGAGAAUACAACAUCAUGUCAUGUAGCAAUUCCUAAAGGGAACCAAGCAAAAUUGAUAUCUGCAAAAAGUAAAUCGUGGAUCCAAACCCUCUCCUCUCUUCAGCCACAUGGCAAGAUCAAUGGCAGCGAGGCUCGUCUUCGCUCUCCUCCUCCUCCGUGCCAUCGCCUGCUCGCUGCCGGCCAGCAGCACAGGCGAAGAGCAGGAGGCAGAUAAGAUGGCCCAACUUCCGGGGCAGCCGGAGAGCCCAGGCGUCACACAGUUCUCGGGUGACACUUCACCGUCGACGAGCGGCACGGGAGGGCGCUCUUCUACUGUGGUUCUUCCGGGCGCAGGCCCAAGCAGAAGCCCAGGUAAAGCAGAGGAUUUUUCAAAAAAAAAAAAAGUAAAGCAGAGGGGGUAUCGUCCAUGGUAUCUGCCCUUCUUUAAGUGUCUUAUACUCGGCAGAAUUUUUUUUUAUGUGACCAACUGACAACGUUUUCUCCUGCUUUGCUUCUCUCUUCUUUGUGUCGGUCCCACCGCAGACCAAUUUUAGAGGGUCAAUUGUUUCUUUUGUACUAACUAGCCAGCGCUGCCACGGCCCGCCGCGAUCCUCUACGCUCGUAUUUCUGGCAUUUUUUCACAUGUUGCAAGAGAUAAUUUCUUGGCGUGAAAUUUUAACUUCAGAAGGUACAAUAUUACUACAUCUGUCCUUUCAGCUCCUUAUGCUUGUUCCUGCGCGGGUCAUUAUUUUAUUUUCCCUUUUUUUUAUAUAAUUUUGUUUUCCCGUUUCACUUUGACAUGGAACUUUGUGUUCUGACAAUUGGGUUUCACUCUCAUCCGAAGCUUCAUCUAGACACAAAACUUACGAGAGUUAUGCAUUGCUCCAAGGGACCAAAUACUCCAUCCAUUUCAUAUUUUUUGUCGAAAUAUUACAUGUAUCUAGACGCUUUUUAGGAAUUGAUACAUUUAUAUUUGGGCAAAUUUGAGACAAGAAUUAUGAAACGAAGAGAGUAGUAAUCACUUUCCUAUGACAUACAUGGACAUUGCAGACAAUUUGCUUAUGGUCUAACAUAUGUGAAUAUAUUAUCAAAACAUUUGUGGUAUCAACAGUAAUAAUACGUGCAUCUGAAAGAUCACACGGGAGAAUUUGGUGCCAUAAAGACAACAUAAUAAUGCAAAUAUGCAAUCCUCUCCCAUGAUGAACAACAUGAACUGAAUAAAACCAAAUGCCUUUUUUCGAUAAAGGGAACUUUUAUUGAGCUUAAAAGUCGCAUCAAGAGGAUACAUCAAGCUCAAAGCUGCAUUUCAAAGAAUGUCAUGUGCAAGAUAGCGGGAUCUAUCAGAAUCACAAUAGUUAAACUAAUCAUACAAAAAUGGACAAAAACAUUAUUUCACAUAGAGAAUAAUUUCAAUUUCUGUAUCAAAUGGGAUUACGGCAAAACAAAAUAGUUUUCUUCAAGGCAUUAACACAAGCACAUGUUGAGCGGCAAUGCCACUUUUGUUCCAUACCUUAAGAAACUGAUGGGGCGUGGAGGGGUUCCGACGCCCGUUUGCCGUGCCGGACGGCGUCGGGGUGGGACGCAUCUCCGUUGGAUUCAAGGAGGACGACGAACUACUCGUGGGGUCGCCUUGUUCAAGCUGCUGCCACAGACCCCACCGGUGGUCGACGUCAGCAGCACGGACAGCCAGGGGAGAGGUGGAGCUGGACGACGGCCAUCGAGGAGAGGGCGAUCGUCUUGUACAAGCCCGUAGAGGCAGCGUGCAACCUGCUGCUCGGCUCGCUCCGACCGGCGUUCCUCUCCGCGCAAGCCCCGAUUGGAUCCACGGGCACAACACAAUGGUACGUAUCGCUGCUUAAUUGCUAAUUUCUUCAAGUUGCACUUAUAAUUAUAGCUCGUUUUGUUUGAGCUUCGAAUCCAAUUCAGUUCCAUUGUGAUGUACUCAAGAUUGAUCCGAUCAUGCAGACACGAUGCUGCCAGAAGAGAGAAACAAUAGGGGUCUGUUCGAGGGGCUCGCUGGAGGCGAGAGAUCCAACCCGGAUGGGAUCGUUGCUGGCCAUGGAGCCGCAACUGGCAGAAGGGGAAGGGCAGGCCUUUCUCCGUCUUCCUCCAAUCGAGGGUGCGGGAAGAAGCGCAGGGUUGAUUUCCUCGUGCGGCUUGCCAGGGCGGCCUGCUGGGCCUGACAGGGGCGUCGGGCGAGCGAUCAACGAAAGGAAAGUUUGAUAGACGACGAAACGCGUGGUGAAGAAAACGGUCCGUAUUUUUUAGAUAGGUAUAGAUUUUACUUGUUGUGUACAUGUUAUAAUGUGUCACACUCACACAUGUAAACCAAAAGAUGGUACAUAACAAAAUUUUUUUACGUAAAAACAGUCAUUGGUAUAUAAAAUUUAGACAGUACAAGAAACGUUAAAUAUACACGAAGACGCAUCAAAGUAAGUAUAUCGUGAUCUACAAUAACUAAAGUUAGUACAACAUGCCAGUACUUAUUGCAAGUACAUCAAUCAACCAUUGUGUAUCUAAAAUUUAGACAGUACAUCAUAUGUUGAAUGUACACGAGCGCAUAUCAAAAUGUGUACACCAUGGUCCAUCCUAAUGGAGGUCGGUAAAUCAUUUCAAUACUUAUUACCUCAUCCGGUUGUACGUCCUAGUACAUAGGAAAUACAUUUAGGGUACAUGUCAAGUACGAUGAAAAUAUAUCGUCAGUUUUAGGUACCUCACCAAUUUUAAGUGCCCCGUCAAUACUCGUAUACACUAUGAUUACAAUAAAAAAUAUCAAGUACUUUCUCAAUCACAGUACCUCAUCAAUUUUUAGUACCUUGUCAAUAUACACAUGAUGCUACAAUUGACAAGUACCUCGUCAAAUAUAAAUACACCACGGUACAUGAUAAGUAGCAUGUCAACUACAACCCAGCGGCAAGCGGCAGAUCCAAUAUGCAGGACCAGAAGAAAUACGCCUAAGAAAUCAAAGCAAGAUAUCAUCACGGUAGACGAAAAAACUCCUUUCAUCUGCAAAUAACUAAAGUUACCAUCAAUACAAAAUCAGUGCAAAACAGCAAAACGAAGAAGACAGAGGCGGCACCGGCGGACAGACCCUAGCCACUGGCCAGGAAUUAGCACUACUACAGAAUGGGACAUUAGUAACGGGCUAAAAACGAUAUUAGUGGCGGACGGGGCGCCCGUCACUGACUUGAUGUUACGGGCCCAACACUCGUGACUGAUAUCAGGAGCAUCAGUGGCGGUCUCAAUUCCUCGACCGACACUGAUAUUGAUUUCGAGAAUUAAAAGAAAAGCAGGCCCCAGGCCCGCGUAUUCACUGGAUCACAAAUCACACAAUUAAUUACACAACAUCUGUACAUACACAAGCAGUAUUAUGCGCUAAAUCCGACAGCAGAUAUUGCAAAACACCAAAUCUGCUUGCCAAAAUUGCUGCCUGAGCGAGCCACGAAGAAAUCUGCGAGAGUGAUCGGCCUUUAGAAUGAACCGAGAGAGGAAGAGAGAGGGAGAGAAGCAAAGAAAGGGGAAGAGUACAAACCGAGGUCGAUGGAAGCAGAUCCGGAGGCAGGCGGGCCGCGGCCGCCUCCACCAAGCGCCCUCCCCAGAAGCCCCCUUUGCGUCCACCGGCACCCACAUCCUCCGCUGCGGCGGCGGCAUCCAUGGCUGCCGCUUAUCGACCUCACCCUCGCCGCGCGCCGCAACAAGAAGCGCAAGCUCCCGGAGAAGCAGCUCCCCGACCGCGUCGCUGCGCUGCUUCCAGAGUCCGCGCUCUACACGCAGCUGCUCGAGUUUGAGGCCCGCGUGGACGCCGCGCUCGCGCGCAAGAAGCUGGACAUCCAGGAGGCGCUCCGGCGGCUUCCUCGUCCCCAAGAGGCGGCGGCCUCCUCGCCUCCCGGCGGUGGCGGGGACUGGCUGCACUCCACGGUGGCACUCCAUCUGCAGAAAUUAAGAGAGAACUCGGAGGGAGAGAGAUCAGAGAGAGAGAUCAGAGAGAGGGAGAAAGAGAGAGAUGGAGAUACUCAAGAUCCUCUGGCUCCAUGGCUGCUGCUUCUCCUGGCGCCGUGGGAGAUGGGAGGAACGGAGAGGGGCGGGCGCUGCUGUGGAGGAAGCGAGAGGGGUGGGGGCGGGGGCAGAUCGAGGAGGAGGGAGUAGAUCGGGGAGGAGGGAGGCAGACCGAGGAGGGAGGAGAUCGGGGAGGAGGGAGCCAAAUCAGGGAGGAGAUCGAGGAGGAGGGAGGGAGAUCGGGAAAUCGGGGGGGGGCGGUGUCGCCGUGAGGAGAUGUGCGGCGGGGGGAGAAGAAAUAGAGGGAGAAGAGGGGGCUCGGGGAGACGGCGCUGAGAUAGGGAGAGGGAGGAAGAGAGUAGAUAUUUAUACCGCCCACACAAACCCUAGAAAAUGUUGGGUUAAAGAGAUGGUUAUCAGUGGCGGCCCUGGAUGAAAGGACCGCCACUAAUGAGUGUUUUAGUGAAUUUUAACAUUUUUCACACUGAACCAUUAGUGACGGGCCUCCCGCGCCCGUUACUGAUGAGUGCUCAUCAGUGACGGGCGUGGUACGCCCAUUACUGAUGAGGGGUCAUCAGUGACGGUCGAGCACGCGCCCGUCACUGAUGAUGGUCAUCAGUGACGGGCAUGGAAGACCCGUGACUGAUGAUGGUCAUCAGUGACGGGCGUGAAAUACUCGUCACUGAUGACUCGUCACAUAUACACUGUUUUGUAGUAGUGUAGACAAACGAGAGAGAGAAACACUGGAGAAAGAUCGACGGGACAAGACUACGAGAGUGGAAUGCUAGAACUGACUGCCUAAUCAGAUGACAAAGGGAUUAAGAAAAAUGAAGUGGACCGUAAAUAUGGAGGUCCGGAUAACGUGAACGGCACACGAAGGUUUGGCCUGUUAGGGCAACUUCAAUAGACUGUUACUAGAGCUGAUACUAUGAGGGGAGAAAGAGGACAACAUCAUGUUAAGUAACAGCCGGUCCAACGGGAAGUUACUUCAGCUUGUUCCUAAAAGCUGAAAUACUAUUUAAAUGUUGCGGUUCAAAUACUCUUUCCAACGGCAGAUCGGAUCGGUACUAGCACCUAGGUAUCGACGACGUUACGGUUUCUUGCAGGAGUACCCAUUUUUCUCGUUUUCUCAACUUUUCUUGCCAAUGCCACUGAUAUGCUGAUGUGUCGGAGUACUCCUUCCGUCUGGUUUUAGGAGACGCGUUUUCUUUUUCACUCGUACCGAGGCUUGUUGCCACACAUGCAUGCUAGACAUAAUUAGCCUUCACGCGCAGCCCCUAAGUAACCUGUACAGCCAAUCAACAUAGCAGGCUCAGCAAGCAUUUAUGACAGUGCAUGCCAGCACCGCCUGGCCACACGAGCGUAUUGACUACUGCUGCUUGCGAGCAUUCAUGCAUGGAGACCAUUUCAGUUACUCCUGCAAAAUCAGACAAGUACAUUCAAAUUUUACGGCUCCUAAAACCAGACGGAGCGAGGACUGGUAACGGCCUAGUUGGACCACAGGAGAUCCCCUCUGCUCUUUUCCCGCCCAUCUAUUUAUCCAUCUUUUUCACUUUUCUUUCCUUCACGGAUUCACCAUUUCACCCCUCCUUCCUUCGCCCCAGUCCCCCUCGCUCGUCUUCCUCCUCGCGCACGACUGGAUUCACAGUAGCGCAAGCGCCGCCGCCGCCUCCGGUUGAUCUCCCCUUCGAUUCUAUCGCUCCCGACCGUUUCUCCUCCCAUCACCCCACGAAUUGAUUCUGCCCUGCAUCUCCCCGUUUUAUCUCCUUAAUCUCCCCUAAUUCGUAACUGAGGCAAAAAUCCGCCCUACUUUGCCCUACUGGGUACUCCGCCCGUGAUUGCAGGGGAUCAGCGAUGACGUCGAUUGGACAUCUCGGCGACCCGUACGGGCUGCGGUGUGUCUCCGACCUGCCCCCGC